RNAcentral lists this long non-coding RNA (58057 nucleotides) under Sorghum bicolor (sorghum). Its description in RNAcentral is "long non-coding RNA (SBIC_LNC010459)". Lineage: Eukaryota; Viridiplantae; Streptophyta; Magnoliopsida; Poales; Poaceae. The record is from RNAcentral.
AUCCACAUCCAUAUCACAUUCGGUGGCUGAACAACUGAUGCGAACCCGCUAGGGUUUUUGGCCUGAUCUUUUGAUGAGAGACGGGGAUAACUCGAUUGGUGGAUGGAGAUGACGUUCACGGCCCGACUACAGCCCUCAAGACCGCGCCUUAGCAACCGAUACACCACGUCCAACAGCCGUCACGAUCUUGUAGAGCGCGACAACCAGCCCCUAGGGCUCCCGUCCUGCAAGCAAUCGAAGAACUAGCAAGAACGAGGAAACAAGCACUGAAUUUGCAAGAUGAAUUGAAGGUUUCAAACUUAAUCUGAAUCAACAAUGGGGUUCCGAAGACAAGGAGACGGGCGGCUGAUCCUGCACGCGCGCCUACAAGCAAGUAGCGAAGGCUAAACUUGAUCUAAACAAAACCCAGUUGUUCAUGGCGGCUCUAGAUGUAAAUAAAUAGAGGGGAGGACGACCAAAGGGGUGCUAGAGUCGUCCUCCGACCCUAGGACGCAUCCCUAAUGGACUCAACUUGAUACAUGGGCCAUUGGUCCAAAAUAGGGUGACGCAGCACCAAAACAGAAAAAGGUGUCGGCAUGAAAACAAGGACUGCGCCCGACUCAUAAGCUGCAUAGAUAUGUGGUUGGACCCAUUAGAAAGUAGACUUCAUGUGCUUUCCAACAAGUAUAGGAACGUCCCAGUUGGAGUCUAUAUGACGCCGUGGUGAUCCAUACAAGUUAGAGUCAUUUUCAAGUCCGAAUCCAACUCCCAAAACGUGUUGGGUUUGGACUCUUUGUUUCCUUGCUUUAGAAGCGACGUGGUAACUUGAUAGAGGAUGUUGUGGAGGCUUGGACCUGAUCUCCAAUCACCUUUGUUAAGUUAUCACUCUUCCCAUAUGCAAUCAGCCCUUGAAGUUGGUGUUGCCUCAAAUUCUGAAUGCAGUUGAACCUUCCCUUGCUGAUCUUGUCCAUUAUUCCUGAGCAACACGAAAGUGCACGUGUCUCCAUUGUCUAAAUAUGAUUGACAAGAGUUUAAAACUGAACUUACUUGAAGGUUGAGUUGACGGGCACGAGCACGAGUAAGAGGACCAGCUAUAGGUUGUGUCGGAGAGGAUGUAUGACCAGCUAUAGGUUGUGUCGGAGAUGUAGGACCAGCUAUAGGUUGUGUCGGAGAGGAUGUAUCGCUGGUGUUGAUGUCCUCAUCAUCCUCCCUUUCUUGCAUUUGAGUCGUCCUCGACUCAAGCUCAUCUUCCUCACCCAAAUAAGGCUUCAAAUCUGCAAUGUUAAAUGUGGGACUAACCCCAAAAUCUGCAGGAAGAUCAAGCUUAUAUGCAUUCUCAUUAAUUCGUUGCAGCACUUUAAAAGGACCAUCAGCUCUAGGCAUCAAUUUGGAUUUUCUCAGUUCUGGAAAUCUAUCUUUUCGCAAAUGCCACCAAACCAAAUCCCCAUCCAUAUCACAUUCGGUGGCUGAAGAACAGUGGUAAGGCCAAGGUAACAAAACUGGUGCGAAUUAAUUUUACUAUUGGUUCAUACCAUGAUGUUGUUGAAUGUGAUGUUGUACCUAUGGAAGCUUGUAAUAUUCUGCUAGGUAGACCAUGGCAAUUUGAUAAGGAAUGUAUACAUCAUGGUAGAUCAAAUCAGUAUUCGUUUAUGCACCAUGAUAUGAAAAUUGUUUUGCUACCUAUGUCUCCCGAAGCUAUCGUACGUGAUGAAGUUGCUAAAAUUACCAAGGCUAAAAUUAAGAACAAUGCAGAUACCAAUGGAAAUAACAAAGAUGAGAUAAGAUUAAAUGGACAUUGCAUGCUUGCUACUAAAUUUGAUGUUAAUGAACUAAUUGUUUCCACAUCUACUGCUUAUGCUUUGGUAUGUAAGGGUGUUUUGAUUUCAAUUGAAGAUAUGCUGCAUUCUUUGCCCCCUGCUAUUCAUAACAUUUUGCAGGAGUAUGCUGAUGUUUUUCCAAGUGAGAUACCGGCAGGGCUGCCACCUAUACGUGCGAUUGAGCACCAAAUUGAUCUUAUUCCUAGUGCAUCUUUGCCAAACCGCGCGCCAUACAGGACAAACUAGAGGAAACAAAAGAGAUCCAGUGGCAAGUGCAAGAACUCCUCGACAAAGGUUAUGGAAUUGAGGUUGAUCAAGCCAAGGUAGAAGCUAUACAGGGAUGGCCUGUACCAAAGACGAUUACCCAGGUGCGGAGUUUCUUAGGACUUGCUGGGUUUUAUCGCCGUUUUGUGAAGGAUUUCAGCACCAUUGCUGCACCAUUGAAUGACCUUACAAAGAAGGGAGUGCCUUUUGUUUGGAGCAAAGUACAAGAGAAUUCCUUCAACAUGUUGAAAGAUAAGUUAACACAUGCACCUCUCCUACAGCUUCCUGAUUUUAAUAAGACUUUUGAGCUUGAGUGUGAUGCUCGUGGGAUUGGUUUGGGAGGUGUUUUGCUACAAGAGGGUAAACCUGUUGCAUAUUUUAGUGAGAAAUUGAGUGGGCCUGUUCUGAACUAUUCAACUUAUGAUAAAGAAUUGUAUGCUCUUGUCCGAACUUUAGAAACAUGGCAACAUUAUUUGUGGCCCAAAGAGUUUGUUAUUCAUUCUGAUCAUGAAUCUUUAAAACAUAUUCGUAGUCAAGGAAAACUAAAUCGCAGACAUGCUAAGUGGGUAGAAUUUAUUGAAUCCUUUCCUUAUGUUAUUAAGCACAAGAAAGGGAAGGAGAAUAUCAUUGCUGAUGCUUUGUCAAGGAGAUAUACUUUGCUAAAUCAACUUGAUUACAAGAUUUUUGGAUUAGAAACGAUCAAAGACCAAUAUGUUCAUGAUGCUGAUUUUAAUGAAGUGUUGCUGCGUUGUAAAGAUGGAAAAGGAUGGAACAAAUUCAUCGUUAGUGAUGGGUUUGUGUUUAGAGCUAACAAGCUAUGCAUAUCCAGCUAGCUCUGUUCGUUUGUUGUUGUUACAGGAAGCUCAUGGAGGAGGUUUGAUGGGACAUUUUGGAGCAAAGAAGACGGAGGACAUACUUGCUUAUUUGAAACCAUAUUUGGGUGAGGAACAUGAGCUUGAGUCGAGGACGACUCAAAUCCAAGAAAGGGAGGAUGAUGAGGACAUCAACACCAUCGAUAUAUCCACACCUACACCAGUUGGAAUAAUGGACAAGAUCAGCAAGGGAAGGUUCAACUGCAUUCGGAAUUUGAGGCAACACCAACUUCAAGGGCUGAUUGCAUAUGGGAAGAGUGAUAACUUAACAAAGGUGAUUGGAGAUCAGGUCCAAGCCUCCACAACAUCCUCUAUCAAGUUACCACGUCGCUUCUAAAGCAAGGAAACAAAGAGUCCAAACCCAACACGUUUUGGGAGUUGGAUUCGGACUGGAAAAUAAGUCUAACUUGUAUGGAUCACCACGGCGUCAUAUGGACUCCAACUGGGACGUUCCUAUACUUGUUGGAAAGCUCAUGAAGUCUACUUUCCAAUGGGUCCAACCACAUAUCUAUGCAGCUUAUGAGUCGGGCGCAGUCCUUGUUUUUGUGCCGACACCUUUUUCUAUUUUGGUGCUGCGUCACCCUAUUUUGGACCAAUGGCCCAUGUAUCAAGUUGAGUCCAUUAGGGACGCGUCCUAGGGUUGGAGGAUGACUCUAGCACCCCUUUGAUCGUCCUCCCCUCUAUUUAUUUACAUCUAGAGCCGCCAUGAACAACUGGGUUUUGAUUAGAUAAAGAUUAGCCUUCGCUACUUGCUUGUAAACGCGCGUGCUGAUCCAGCCGCCCGUCUUCUUUUUUUCGAAACCCCACUUCAUUAGAGAUUGAGUUUGAAACCUUCAUUUACAUCUAGUAAUUUAGUACUUGUUCUACUUGUUCUUGCUGGUUCUUCGAUUGCUUGUAGGAUGAGUGCCCUAGUGGCCGGGUGUUGCGCUCCACAAGAUCGUGACAGCCAUUGGAGGCGGUGUAUCGGUUGCUAAGGCGCGGCCUUAGAAGGCUGUAGUCGGGCCGUGAACGUCAUCUCCAUUCAGUAAUCGAGUUAUCCAGCGCCUCUCAUCGAAAGAUCAGGCGAAAACCCUAGUGGGUUCACAUCAGAGACAGUGUUAGUUUCAGUGCAAGAUAGUGGCAAGGUUUGCACAUAAUGCAGCAUAGGCUAAGAAACCAUUUUGGACGCACCCGAUGGUACUCCUAGUUAAAAGGCUCAAGUGAAAGCUCGGUUUGGUCUUUUUGGAGAUAGUGCUAAUCUUGAUGCAAGAUAGAUGCACAGUCUGCAUGGAACAUACCAUAUUUUUGGAAAUUAAUAUGGACACACCCGAUAGAACUCCUUGGUGAUGUGUGUCUUAUGGAAUCUCGCUUUGGUGUGCUUAGAGACAGUAUUAGUUUCGGUGCAAGAAAUAUGCACGGUUUGUGCCUAAUCCACCAAAGUCUAAGAAACCAUUUUGGAAGCACCUGUUAGUACUCCUAGGUGAAGAGGCUCAAGUGGAGGCUCGGUUUGGUCUGUUUAGAGAUAGUGCUAAUCUUGAUGCAAGAUAGGUGCACGAUUUGCAAGGAACAUACCAUAUGCUCAAAAGUCAAUUUGUACGCACCAGAUGGAACUCCUAGAUGACAUGUGUCAUAUGGAAUCUCGCUUCGGUCUGUUUGAAGACAGUGUUAGUUUUGGUGCAAGAUAGGUGCAUAGUGUGUGCCUAAUGCACCAUAGUAUAAGAAACCAUUUUUGACGCGCCUGUUUGUACUCCUAGAUGAAGAGGCUCAAGUGGAAGCUCGGUUUGGUCUGUUUGGAGAUAGUGCUAAUCUUGAUGCAAGAUAGGUGCACAGUUUGCAUGGAACAUACCAUAUGCUUGGAAAUCAAUUUUGAUGCACCCAAUGAAACUCCUUGAUGACGUGUGUCGUAUGGAAUCUCGCUUUGGUCCGUUUGUAGACAUUGUAAGUUUUAGGGCAAGAUAGGUGCACAGGUUGCGCCUAAUGCACCAUAGUCUAAGAAACCAUUUUUGAUGUACUCCUAGAUGAAGAGGCUCAAGUGGAAGCUCAGUUCGGUCUGUUUGGAGAUAGUGCUAAAAUUGAAGCAAGAUAGGUGCACGGUUUGCAUGGAACAUACCAUAUGCUUGGAAAUCAAUUUGGAUGCACCCGAUAGAACUCCUUGAUGACGUGUGUCAUAUGGAAUCUCACUUUGGUCUGUUUAGAAAUAGUGUUAGUUUCAGUGCAUGAUAUGUGCAUGGUUUGCACCUAAUGCACCACAGUCUAAGAAAGCAUUUUGGAAGCACCUGUUGGUACUUCAGUAAAGAGGCUCAAGUGGAAGCUCGGUUUGAUCUGUUUGGAGAUAGUGCUAAUCUUGAUGCAAGAUAGGUGCAUGAUUUGCAAGGAACAUACCAUAUGCUUAAAAAUCAAUUUGGACGCACCCAAUGGAACCUAGAUGACGUGUGUCAUAUGGAAUCUUGCUUCGGUUCAUUUGUAGACAUUGUAAGUUUUAGUGCAAGAUAGGUGCACAGUUUGCGCCUAAUGAACUAUAGUCUAAGAAACCAUUUUGGACGCACUAUUUGGUACUCUUGGGUGAAGAGGCUCAACUGGAAGCUUGGUUCGGUCAAUUUGGAGAUACUGCUAAUCCUUAUGCAAAGUAGGUGCAUGCUUUGCAUGGAACAUACCAUAUGCUUGGAAAUCAAUUUGGAUGCACCCGAUGGAACUCCUUGACGACAUGUGUCAUAUGGAAUCUCGUUUCGGUCCAUUUGGAGACAUUGUUAGCUUCGGUGCAAGAUAGGUGCACAGUUUUCACCUAAUGCACCAUAGUCUAAGAAACCAUUUUGGACGCACUUGUUGGUACUCCUAGGUGAAGGGGCUUAAGUGGAUGCUCGGUUCGGUUUGUUUGGAGAUAGUGCUAAUCUUGAUGAAAGAUAGGUGCAUGGUUUGCAUGAAACAUACCAAGUGCUUGGAAAUUAAUCUAGACGCACAUGAUGGAACUCCUAGAUGACGUGUGUCAUACAAAAUCUUGCUUUGGUCUGUUUGGAUACAGUGUUAGUUUCGGAGCAAGGUAGGUGCAAGGUUUGCACAUAAUGCAGCAUAGGCUAAAAACCAUUUUGGACACACCCGAUGGUACUCCUAGGUAAAAGGCUCAAGUGAAAGCUCGGUUUGGUCUAUUUGGAGAUAGUGCUAAUCUUGAUGCAAGAUAGAUGCACGGUCUGCAUGGAACGUACCAUUUGCUUAGAAAUUGAUUUGGACACACUCGAUAGAACUCCUUGAUGACGUGUGUCAUAUGGAAUCUCGCUUUGGUGUUCUUAGAGAUAGUAUUAGUUUCGGUGCAAGAUAUGUGCACGGUUUGCGCCUUAUGCUCCAAAGUCUAAGAAACCAUUUUGGAAGCACGUGUUGGUACUCCUAGGUGAAGAGGCUCAAGCGGAGGCUCGGUUCGGUCUGUUUAGUGAUAGUGCUAGUCUUGAUGGAAGAUAGGUGCACGAUUUGCAUGGAACAUACCAUAUGCUUGGAAAUCAAUUUGGAUGCACCCGAUGGAACUCCUUGAUGACGUGUGUCAUUUGGAAUCUCGCUUCGGUCCAUUUGGAGACAUUGUUAGUUUUGGUGCAAGAUAGGUGCACAGUUUGCACCUAAUGCACCAUAGUCUAAGAAACCAUUUUGGACGCACUUGUUGGUACUCCUAGGUGAAGGGGCUCAAGUGGAUGCUCGGUUCGGUCUGUUUGGACAUAGUGCUAAUCUUGAUUUGAGAUAGAUGCACGGUUUGCAUGGAACAUACGAUAUGCUUAGAAAUCAAUUAGGACACACCUGAUAUAACUCCUUGAUGAUUUGUAUCAUAUGGAAUCUUGCUUCGGUUCGUUUAGAGAUAGUGUUAGUUUUGGUAGAAGAUAUGUGCACGAUUUACGCCUAAUGCACCAUAGGCUAAGAAACCAUUUUAGACGCACCCGAUGGUACUCGUAGUUGAAGAGCCUCAAGUAAAGGCUCGAUUUGGUCUGUUCGGAUAUAGUGCUAAUCUUGAUGCAAGAUAGUUGCAUAGUUUGCAUGCAACGUACCAUAUGUUAAGAAAUCAAUUUGGACGCACCCAAUGGAACUCCUAGAUGACGUGUGUCAUAUGGAAUGUCGCUUCGGUCUGUUUGGAGACAAUGUUAGUUUCGGUGCAAGAUAGGUACAUAGUUUGUGUGUAAUGCACCAUAGUCUAAGAAACCAUUUUUGACACACCUGUUUGUACUCCUAGAUGAAGAUGCUCAAGUGGAAGCCCGGUUCGGUCUGUUUGGAGAUAGUGCUAAAAUUGAUGCAAGAUAGGUGCACGGUUUGCAUGGAACAAACCAUAUGCUAGGAAAUCAAUUUUGAUCCACCCGAUGGAACUCCUUGAUGAUGUGUGUCAUAUGGAAUCUCACUUGGUCUGUUUAGAAAUAGUGUUAGUUUCGGUGCAUGAUAUGUACAUGGUUUGCACCUAAUGCACCAGAAACCAUUUUGGAAGCACCUGUUGGUACUUCAGUGAAGAGGCUCAAGUGGAAGCUCGGUUUGAACUGUUUGGAGAUAGUGCUAAUCUUGAUGCAAGAUAGGUGCAUGAUUUGCAAGGAACAAACAUACCAUAUGCUUAGAAAUCAAUUUGGACACACCCACCUAGAUGACGUGUGUCAUAUGGAAUCUUGCUUCGGUCCGUUUGUGUACAUUGUAAGUUUUAGUGCAAGAUAGGUGCACAGUUUGCGCCUAAUGCACCAUAGUCUAUGAAACCAUUUUGGACGCACUAUUUGGUACUCCUAGGUGAAGAGGCUCAAGUGGAAGCUUGGUUCGGUCAGUUUGGAGAUAGUGCUAAUCCUUAUGCAAGGUAGGUGCAUGCUUUGCAUAGAACAUACCAUAUGCUUGGAAGUCAAUUUGGAUGCACCCGAUGGAACUCCUUGACGACGUGUGUCAUAUGGAAUCUCGUUUCGGUCCAUUUGGAGACAUUGUUAGUUUCGAUGCAAGAUAGGUGCACAGUUUGCACCUAAUGCACCAUAGUCUAAGAAACCAUUUUGGACGCACUUGUUGGUACUCCUAGGUGAAGGGGCUCAAGUGGAUGCUCGGUUCGGUCUGUUUGGAGAUCGUGCUAAUCUUGAUGAAAGAUAGGUGCACGAUUUGCAUGGAACAUACCUAAUGCUUGGAAAUCAAUCUGGACGCACAUGAUGGAACUCCUAGAUGACGUGUGUCAUACAAAAUCUUGCUUUGGUCUGUUUGGAGACAGUGUUAGUUUCAGUGCAAGAUAGGUGCAAGGUUUGCACAUAAUGCAGCAUAGGCUAAGAAACCAUUUUGGACGCACUCGAUGGUACUCCAAGGUAAAAGGCUCAAGUGAAAGCUCGGUUUGGUCUAUUUGGAGAUAGUGCUAAUCUUGAUGCAAGAUAGAUGCACAGUCUGCAUGGAAAGUACCAUUUGCUUAGAAAUUGAUUUGGACACACCCGAUAGAACUCCUUGAUGAUGUGUGUCAUAUGGAAUCUCGCUUUGAUGUGCUUAGAGACAGUAUUAGUUUCGGUGCAAGAUAUGUGCACGGUUUGCGCCUAAUGCACCAAAGUCUAAGAAACCAUUUUGGAAACACCUGUUAUUACUCCUAGGUGAAGAGGCUCAAGUGGAGGCUCAGUUUGGUCUGUUUAGAGAUAGUGCUAAUGUUGAUGCAAGAUAGGUGCACGAUUUGCAUGGAACAUACCAUAUGCUCAGAAAUCAAUUUGGACACACCAGAUGGAACUCCUAGAUGACAUGUGUCAUAUGGAAUGUGACUUCGGACCGUUUAGAGAUAGUGUUAGUUUCGGUGUAAGAUAGGUGCACGGUUUGCACCUAAUGCACCAUAGGAUAAGAAACCAUUUUGGACGCACCAGAUGGUAUUCCUAGUUCAAGGGGCUAAUGUGAAAGCUCAGUUUGGUCUGUAUGGAGAUAGUGCUAGUCUUGAUGCAAGAUAGAUGCACGGUUUGCAUGGAACAUACGAUAUGCUCAGAAAUGAAUUAGGACGCACCUGAUAACUCCUUGAUGAUGUGUAUCAUAUUGAAUCUUGCUUCGGUUCGUUUAGAGACAGUGUUAGUUUUGAUAGAAGAUAUGUGCACAGUUUAUGCCUAAUGCACCAUAGGCUAAGAAACCAUUUUAGACGCACCCGAUGGAACUCAUAGUUGAAGAGGCUCAAGUGGAGGCUCGAUUUGGUCUGUUCGGAUAUAGUGCUAAUCUUGAUGCAAGAUAGUUGCACAGUUUGCAUGCAACGUACAAUAUGUUAAGAAAUCAAUUUGGACGCACCCAAUGGAACUCCUAGAUGACGUGUGUCAUAUGGAAUCUCGCUUCGGUCUAUUUGGAGACAAUGUUAGUUUCGGUGCAAGAUAGGUGCAUAGUUUGUGCCUAAUGCACAUAGAAACCAUUUUUGAUGCACCUGUUUGUACUCCUAGAUGAAGAGGAUCAAGUGGAAGCUCAGUUCGGUCUGUUUGGAGAUAGUGCUAAUCUUGAUGCAAGAUAGGUGCACGGUUUGCAUGGAACAUACCAUAUGCUUGGAAAUCAAUUUGGAUGCACCCGAUGGAUCUCCUCGAUGACGUGUGUCAUAUGAAAUCUCGCUUUGGUCUAUUUAGAUGCAGUGUUAGUUUCGGUGCAAGAUAUGUGCAUGAUUUACGCCUAAUGCACCAUAGUCUAAGAAACCAUUUUGGAAGGACCUGUUGGUACUUCGGUGAAGAGGCUCAAGUGGAAGCUCGGUUUGAUCUGAUUGGAGAUAGUGCUAGUCUUGAUGCAAGAUAGGUGCAUGAUUUGCAAGGAACAUACCAUAUGCUUAAAAAUCAAUUUGGACGCACCCAAUGGAACUCCUAGAUGACGUGUGUCAUACCGAAUCUUGCUUCAGUCCGUUUGUAGAAUUUGUAAGUUUUAGUGCAAGAUAAGUGCACAGUUUGCGUCUAAUGCACCAUAGUCUAAGAAACCAUUUUGGACGCACUAUUUGGUACUCUUUGGUGAAGAGGCUCAAGUGGAAGCUUGAUUCAGUCAGUUUGGAGAUAGUGCUAAUCCUUAUGCAAGGUAGGUGGAUGGUUUGCAAGGAACAUACCAUGUGCUUGGAAAUCAAUUUGGAUGCACCCGAUGGAACUCCUUGAUGACGUGUGUCAUAUGGAAUCUCGCUUCGGUCCAUUUGGAGACAUUGUUAGUUUCGGUGCAAGAUAGGUGCACAGUUUGCACCUAAUGCACCAUAGUCUAAGAAACCAUUUUGGACACACUUGUUGGUACUCCUAGGUGAAGGGGCUCAAGUGGAUGCUCGGUUCGGUCUGUUUGCAGAUAGUGCUAAUCUUGAUGAAAGAUGGGUGCACGGUUUGCAUGGAACAUACCAAAUGCUUGGAAAUCAAUCCGGACGCACACGAUGGAACUCCUAGAUGACGUGUGUCAUACAAAAUCUUGCUUCGGUCUGUUUGGAGACAGUGUUAGUUUCGGUGCAAGAUAGGUGCAAGGUUUGCACAUAACGCAGCAUAGGCUAAGAAACCAUUUUGGACGCAACAGAUGGUACUCCUAGGUAAAAGGCUCAAGUGAAAGCUCGGUUUGGUCUAUUUGGAGAUAGUGCUAAUCUUGAUGCAAGGUAGAUGCACGGUCUGCAUGGAACGUACCAUAUGCUUAGAAAUUAAUUUGGACACACCCGAUAGAACUCCUUGAUGACGUGUGUCAUAUGGAAUCUCGCUUUGGUGCGCUUAGAGAUAGUAUUAGUUUCGGUGCAAGAUAUGUGCACGGUUUGCGCCUAAUGCACCAAAGUCUAAGAAACCAUUCUGGAAGCACCUGUUGGUACUCCUAGGUGAAGAGGCUCAAGUGGAGGCUCGGUUCAGUCUGUUUAGAGAUAGUGCUAGUCUUGAUGGAAGAUAGGUGCACGAUUUGCAUGGAACAUACCAUAUGCUUGGAAAUCAAUUUGGAUGCACCCGAUGGAACUCCUUAAUGACGUGUGUCAUUUGGAAUCUCGCUUCGGUCCAUUUGGAGACAUUGUUAGUUUCGGUGCAAGAUAGGUGCACAGUUUGCACCUAAUGCACCAUAGUCUAAGAAACCAUUUUGGACGCACUUGUCGGUACUCCUAAGUGAAGGGGCUCAAGUGGAUGCUCGGUUCGGUCUGUUUGGAGAUAGUGUUAAUCUUGAUGCAAGAUAGAUGCAUAGUUUGCAUGGAACAUAUGAUAUGCUUAGAAAUCAAUUAGGACACACCUGAUAUAAAUCCUUGAUGAUUUGUGUCAUAUGGAAUCUUGCUUUGGCUCGUUUAGAGACAAUGUUAGUUUUGGUAGAAGAUAUGUGCACGGUUUACGCCUAAUGCACCAUUGUCUAAGAAACCAUUUUAGACGCACCCGAUGGUACUCGUAGUUGAAGAGGCUCAAGUAGAGGCUCGAUUUGGUCUGUUCGGAUAUAGUGCUAAUCUUGAUGCAAGAUAGUUGCACAGUUUGCAUGCAACGUACCACAUGUUAAGAAAUCAAUUUGGACGCACCCAAUGGAACUCCUAGAUGACGUGUGUCAAAUGGAAUCUCGCUUCGGUCUGUUUGGAGACAAUGUUAGUUUCAGUGCAAGAUAGGUGCAUAGUUUGUGCCUAAUGCACCAUAGUUUAAGAAACCAUUUUUGACACACCUGUUUGUACUCCUAGAUGAAGAGGCUCAAGUGGAAGCUCGGUUCGGUCUGUUUGGAGAUAGUGCUAAUCUUGAUGCAAGAUAGGUGCACGGUUUGCAUGGAACAUACCAUAUGCUUGGAAAUCAAUUUGGAUGCACCUGAUGGAACUCCUUGAUGAUGUGUGUCAUAUGGAAUCUCACUUUGGUCUAUUUAGAAAUAGUGUUAGUUUCGGUAAAAGAUAUGUGCAUGGUUUGCGCCUAAUGCACCAUAGUCUAUGAAACCAUUUUGGAAGCACCUGUUGGUACUUCGGUGAAGAGGCUCAAGUGGAAGCUUGGUUUAAUAUGUUUGGAGAUAGUGCUAAUCUCGAUGCAAGAUAGGUGCAUGAUUUGCAAGGAACAUACCAUAUGCUUAGAAAUCAAUUUGAACGCACCCAAUGGAACUCCUAGAUGACCUAUGUCAUAUGGAAUCUUGCUUCGGUCCGUUUGUAGACAUUGUAAGUUUUAUUGCAAGAUAGGUGCACAGUUUGUGCCUAAUGCACCAUAGUUUAAGAAACCAUUUUGGAUGCACUAUUUGGUACUCUUGGGUGAAGAGGCUCAAGUGGAAGCUUAGUUCAGUCAGAUUGGAGAUAGUGCUAAUCCUUAUGAAAGGUAGGUGCAUGGUUUGCGUGGAACAUACAUAUGCUUGGAAAUCAAUCUGGAUGCACCCGAUGCAACUCCAUGACGACGUGUGUCAUAUGGAAUCUCGCUUUGGUCCAUUUGGAGAUAUUGUUAGUUUCGGUGCAAGAUAGGUGCACAGUUUGCACCUAAUGCACCAUAGUCUAAGAAACCAUUUUGGACGCAGUUUUUGGUACUCCUAGGUGAAGGGGCUCAAGUGGAUGCUCGGUUUGGUCCGUUUGGAGAUAGUGCUAAUUUUGAUGCAAGAUAGGUGCACGGUUUGCAUGGAACAUACCAUAUGCUUGGAAAUCAAUUUUGAUGCACCCGAUGGAACUCCUUGAUGAUGUGUCAUAUGGAAUCUCACUUUGGUCUGUUUAGAAAUAGUGUUAGUUUUGGUACAAGAUAUUUGCAUGCUUUGCGCCUAAUGCACCAUAGUCUAAGAAACCAUUUUGGAAGCACCUGUUGCUACUUCGAUGAAGAGGCUCAAGUGGAAGCUCGGUUUGAUCUGUUUGGAGAUAGUGCUAAUCUUGAUGCAAGAUAUGUGCAUGAUUUGCAAGGAUUAUACCAUAUGCUUAGAAAUAGAAUUGGACGCACCCAAUGGAACUCCUAGAUGACCUGUGUCAUAUGGAAUCCUGCUUCGGUCCGUUUGUAGACAUUUUAAGUUUUAGUGCAAGAUAGGUGCACAGUUUGUGCCUAAUGCACCAUAGUCUAAAAAACCAUUUUGGUUGCACUAUUUGGUACUCUUGGGUGAAGAGGCUCAAGUGGAAGCUUGGUUCGGUCAAUUUGGAGAUAGUGCUAAUCCUUAUACAAGGUAGGUGCAAGGUUUGCAUGGAACAUACCAUAUGCUUGGAAAUCAAUUUGUAUGCACCCGAUGGAACUCCGUGACAACGUGUGUCAUAUGGAAUCUCGCUUCGGUCCAUUUGGAGACAUUGUUAGUUUCGGUGCAAGAUAGGUGCACAGUUUGCACGUAAUGCACCAUAGUCUAAAAAACCAUUUUGGACACACUUGUUGGUACUCCUAGGUGAAGGGGCUCAAGUGGAUGCUCAGUUCGGUCUGUUUGGAGAUAGUGCUAAUCUUGAUGCAAGAUAGGUGCACUGUUUGCAUGGAAUAUACCAUAUGCUUGGAAAUCAAUUUGGAUGCACCGGAUGGAACUCCUUGAUGAUGUGUGUCAUAUGGAAUCUCACUUUGGUCUGUUUAGAAAUAUUGUUAGUUUCGGUGCAAGAUAUGUGCAUGGUUUGCGCCUAAUGCACCAUAGUCUAAGAUACCAUUUUGGAAGCACCUGUUGGUACUUCGGUGAAGAGGCUCAAGUGGAAGCUUGGUUUGAUAUGUUUGGAGAUAGUGCUAAUCUUGAUGCAAGAUAGGUGCAUGAUUUGCAAGGAACAUACCAUAUGCUUAGAAAUCAAUUUGGAGACACCCAAUGGAACUCCUAGAUGACGUGUGUCAUAUGGAAUCUUGCUUCGGUCUGUUUGUAGACAUUGUAAGUUUUAGUGCAAGAUAGGUGCACAGUUUGCGCCUAAUGCACCAUAGUCUAAGAAAUCAUUUUGGAUGCACUAUUUGGUACUCUUGGGUGAAGAGGAUCAAGUGGAAGCUUGGUUCGGUCAGUUUGGAGAUAGUGCUAAUCCUUAUGCAAGGUAGGUGAAUGGUUUGCAUGGAACAUACCAUAUGCUUGGAAAUCAAUUUGGACGCACCCGAUGGAACUCCUUGACGACGUGUGUCAUAUGGAAUCUCGCUUCGAUCUAUUUGAAGACAUUGUUAGUUUCGGUGCAAGAUAUGUGCAUAGUUUGCACCUAAUGCACCAUAGCCUAAGAAACCAUUUUGGACGCACUUGUUGGCACUCCUAGGUGAAGGGGCUCAAGUGGAUGCUCGGUUCAGUCUGUUUUGAGAUAGUGUUAAUGCUUGGAAAUCAAUCUGGACGCACAUGAUGGAACUCCUAGAUAACAUGUGUCAUACAAAAUCUUGCUUUGGUCUGCUUCGAGACAGUGUUAGUUUUGGUGCAAGAUAGGUGCAAAGUUUGCACAUAAUGCAGCAUAGGCUAAGAAACCAUUUUGGACGCACCCGAUGGUACUCCUAGGUAAAAGGCUCAAGUAAAAGCUUGGUUUGGUCUAUUUGGAGAUAGUGCUAACCUUGAUGCAAGAUAGAUGCAUGGUAUGCAUGGAACGUACCAUAUGCUUAGAAAUUAAUUUAGACACACCCGAUAGAACUCCUUGAUGACGUGUGUCAUAUGGAAUCUCGCUUUGGUGUUCUUAGAGAUAGUAUUAGUUUCGGUGCAAGAUAUGUGUACGGUUUGCGCCUAAUGCACCAAGUCUAAGAAACCAUUUUGGAAGCACCUAUCGGUACUCCUAGGUGAAGAGGCUCAAGUGGAGGCUCGGUUUGGUCUGUUUACAGAUAGUGCUAAUGUUGAUGGAAGAUAGGUGCACGAUUUGCAUGGAACAUACCAUAUGCUCAGAAAUCAAUUUGGACGCACGAGAUGGAACUCCUAGAUGACAUGUGUCAUAUGGAAUCUCACUUCGAUCCGUUUAGAGAUAGUGUUAUUUUCGGUGCAAGAUUGGUGCACAGAUUGCACCUACCAUAGGAUAAGAAACCAUUUCGGACGCACCCGAUGGUACUCCUAGGUCAAGGGGCUCAAGUGAAAGCUCAAUUUGGUUUGUUUAGAGAUAGUGCUAAUCUAGAUGCAAGAUAGAUGCACGGUUUGCUUGGAACAUACGAUAUGCUUAAAAACCAAUUAGGACGCACCUGAUAUAACUCCUUGAUGAUUUGUGUCAUAUGGAAUCUUGCUUCGGUUUGUUUAGAGACAGUGUUAGUUUUGGUAGAAGAUAUGUGCACGAUUUACGCCUAAUGCACCAUAGGCUAAGAAACCAUUUUAGACGCACCUGAUGGUACUCGUAGUUGAAGAGACUUAUGUGGAGGCUCGAUUUGGUCUGUUCGGAUAUAGUGCAAAUCUUGAUGCAAGAUAGUUGCACAGUUUGAAUGCAAUAUACCAUAUGUUAACAAAUCAAAUUGGAUGCACCCAAUUCAACUCCUAGAUGACGUGUGUCAUAUGGGACCUCGCUUCGGUCUGUUUGUAGACAAUGUUAGUUUCGGUGCAAGAUAGGUGCAUAGUUUGUGCCUAAUGCAACAUAGUCUAAGAAACCAUUUUUGACACUCCUAUUUGUACUCCUAGAUGAAGAGGCUCAAGUGGAAGCUCAGUUCGGUCUGUUUGGAUAUAGUGCUAAUCUUGAUGCAAGAUAGGUGCACGGUUUGCAUGGAACAUACCAUAUGCUUGGAAAUCAAUUUGGAUGCACCCGAUGGAACUCCUUGAUGACGUGUGUCAUAUGGAAUCUCAGUUUGGUCUGUGUAGAAAUAUUGUUAGUUUUGGUGCAAGAUUUGUGCAUGGUUUGCGCCUAAUGCACCAUAGUCUAAGAAACCAUUUUGGAAGCACCUGUUGGUUCUUCGGGGAAGAGGCUCAAGUGGAAGCUCGGUUUGAUAUGUUUGGAGAUAGUGCUAAUCUUGAUGCAAGAUAGGUGCACGAUUUACAAGGAACAUACCAUAUGCUUAGCAAUCAAUUUGGACGCACCCAAUGGAAGUCCUAGAUGACAUGUGUCAUAAGAAAUCUUGCUUCGGUCCGUUUGUAGACAUUGUAAGUUUUAGUGCAAGAUAGGUGCACACUUUGCGCCUAAUGCAACAUAGUCUAAGAAACCAUUUUGGACGCACUAUUUGGUACUCCUGGGUGAGAGGCUCAAGUGGAAGCUUGGUUCGGUCAGUUUAGAGAUAGUGCUAAUCCUUCUGCAAGGUAUGUGCACGGUUUGCACACAUGAUGGACUCCUAGAUGACGUGUGUCAUACAAAAUCUUGAUUUGUUAUGCUUGGACAUAGUGUUAGUUCUGGUGCAAGAUAGNNNNNNNNNNNNNNNNNNNNNNNNNNNNNNNNNNNNNNNNNNNNNNNNNNNNNNNNNNNNNNNNNNNNNNNNNNNNNNNNNNNNNNNNNNNNNNNNNNNNNNNNNNNNNNNNNNNNNNNNNNNNNNNNNNNNNNNNNNNNNNNNNNNNNNNNNNNNNNNNNNNNNNNNNNNNNNNNNNNNNNNNNNNNNNNNNNNNNNNNNNNNNNNNNNNNNNNNNNNNNNNNNNNNNNNNNNNNNNNNNNNNNNNNNNNNNNNNNNNNNNNNNNNNNNNNNNNNNNNNNNNNNNNNNNNNNUCUCUAAGCACACCAAAGCAAGAUCCAUAUGACACACGUCAUGAAGUGAGUCUAUCGGGUGUGUCCAAAUUAAUUUCUAAGCAUAUGGUACGUUCCAUGCAGACCAUGCAUCUAUCUUGCAUCAAGAUUAGCACUAUCUCCAAACAGAUCAAACCGAGCUUCCACUUGACCCUCUUCACCGAAGUACCAAAAGGUACUUCCAAAAUGGUUCUUAGACUAUGGUGCAUUACGCGCAAACCAUGCACCUAUCUUGCACUGAAAAUAACAUUGUUUUUAAACUGACCAAAGAUAGAUUCCAUAUGACACACGUCAUCAAGGAGUUCCAUCGGGUGCAUCCAAAUUGAUUUCCAAGCAUAUGGUAUGUUCCAUGCAAACCGUGCACCUAUCUUGCAUCAAGAUUAGCACUAUCUCCAAACAGACUGAACCGAGCUUCCACUUGAGCCUCUUCAUCUAGGAGUACAAACAGGUGCGUCAAAAAUGGGUUCUUAGACUAUGGUGCAUUAGACACAAACUAUGCACCUAUCUUGCACCAAAACUAACAUUGUCUCCAAACAGACCGAAGCGAGAUUCCAUAUGACACACGUCAUCUAGGAGUUCCAUUAGGUGCGUACAAAUUGGUUUCUUAACAUAUGGUACGUUCCAUGCAAACUGUGCAACUAUCUUGCAUCAAGAUUAGCACUAUAUCUGAACAGACCAAAUCGAGCCUCCACUUGAGCCUGUUCAACUACGAGUACCAUCGGAUGCGUCUAAAAUAGUUUCUUAGCCUAUGGUGCAUUAGGUGUAAUGAUUUGGACAUCAACACCAGCGAUACAUCCUCUCCGACACAACCUAUAGCUGGUCCUCUUUCUCGUGCUCGUGUUCGUCAACUUAUUAAUCAAGUGAGUUCCUUGAUAAGCUCAUGUCCAUCUUGUUUAGACAAUAGAAACGCGUGCACUCUUGUUUUGAUUAGGAACCAAGGAGAAGACCGAAAGGGAGAAGGACUCACACUCGCUUGAUUCGGAUAGCAGCAAAGCGCCAACUUGUGACCGUUACCAUGGUUGCAUACGGAUUCGGAUUCAGGCGCUUCAGGACUUGUUGGAAAUCUUAUCAAGUCUACUUUCAUAUGAAACAAGUCCCACGUCAAUACCUAUUCGGCAGCAGCGGCAAUGAUCCAAUUACCGUCGAUAGGUCUUGUUGUCCAGGGUGCUGCGUCACCUCAUUUUGGGCUGAUGGCCCAUGUAUCAAGUUGGGUCCAUUAGGGACGCAUCCUAGGGUUGGAGGACGACCCCAACACCUCUUUGGUCAUCAAUCCAUUUACUUAUAUCCCUCUAGAGUCGCCAUGGUCGUUGGGUUUUGUUUAGAUCAAGUUUAGCCUUCGCUACUUGCUUGUAGGCGCGCGUGCAGGAUCAGCCGCCCGUCUCCUUGUCUUUAGAACCCCAUUGUUGAUUAAGAUUCAGUUUGAAACCUUCAAUUCAUCUUGCAAAUUCAGUGCUUGUUUCCUCGUUCUUGCUAGUUCUUCGAUUGCUUGCAGGACGGGAGCCCUAGGUGCUGGUUGUCGCGCUCCACAAGAUCGUGACGGCUAUUGGACGUGGUGUAUCGGUUGCUAAGGUGCGGUCUUGAGGGCUGUAGUCGGGCCUUGAACGUCAUCUCCAUCCACCAAUCGAGUUAUCCCCGUCUCUCAUCAAAAGAUCGGGCAAAAAAACCCUAGCGGAUUCGCAUCAGUUGGUAUCAGAGCAAGGUUCUUCGGUGAGAGACUUCUAAUCCUUUGCUGUUUUUAAUUAAUUUCCUAUAGUCCAGAAAAGCCAAAAAAAUAUAGUAGAUUAGUUUUUCCAUAAUCCUAUUAAACCUUUGUGCCUUGACUAGUACCGUUUUAGUUAGGGCUUGUUGAAUUUGUGUUGCUUCGGUUUGUGUCGAGUUGCUGGUCUUAGUGUCUAGUCCUUUAGAGUUUCGAGUUCUUGUCACCAUCUAUACACAGCCGAGUAUUACCAUAUCUUCUCUCUGUCGAACCUGUUGCGAAGUCUGAAUUGAACUGUGGUCUUGGUCCGGAUCGAGUAGAGUUCCAAUCUGAGUUUCCACCAACGUGAUAAAAAAAAGAAGGAAACUAAGUAGAACUCGGCAAUAGGUGGAAUCCGUUUUGUGGUUGGUUCUGAGUGGAAACCGAACAGAACUUGGAGUCCGCUUGUUAAUAUAGCCUGAACUCCGUCUAUGUGAGUCCUCCUGUGAUCCAAAAAGAAAGAUAACUCCAUACUUGUUCGGCCUUACUCUAGAGAGAGAGAGAAAAAAAAAAGUGUGUGUAGCGAAUUGCUCUUUUGUAUUCUUUUGUUCAUAUAAUUAGUUUUUGAGGUAGCCCGAAAAAAAGAAAAAAAAGAAAAGAGAAAAGAUUCACAAGAGAAAAAAAGGGGCUGUUUUUCAUAUUGAUUUUAGGUUUGUUCCACCUUGUUUUCGGGGGUGUGCUGUGGUUUUCCUUUGUGUCCAGGCUCGCGUCUCUAGCACGGUCUAGCCUAGGACCAGCACAGUACCAUCGUCGAACGCUUAUUCAGCUCGCUUUUAUAACUAACGUGGUGCUAAUUUGUUCCUUGUUUCAGCCCACCUAUAGCUCCACAUACUCUACAGCUUGACAGGUCUUGUGCUGCAGCACCGAUACACUUCGUCCAUUGACAAGACUCGAGCUGCCCCCACCAAUUCAGUUGCGAAGACGAUGCAAAAGCCUGCUGCGAGUACUUCAUCCGUGGCAUCGACGGGUAGAACAAGCAACAUACAAUGUCACCGGUGCAAGGGAUAUGGGCACAUGAUGCGUGACUGUCCAAACAAGCGAGUUAUGAUUGUCAGGGAUGAUGGUGAGAACUCAUCUGCUAGUGAUUUUGAUGAGGAUACACUUGCACUGCUUGCGACUGACCAUGCAGGUAAUGAAGAUGAAAUAGAAGAACAUAUUAAUGCAGGUGAGGCGGACCACUAUGAGAGCUUGAUCGUGCAGCGAGUGCUUAGUGCACAAAUGGAGAUGGCGGAGCAAAAUCUGCGACACAUUUUAUUCCAAACAAAGUGUGUCAUCAAAGAGCGUUCUUGUCGCAUGAUCAUUGAUGGAGGUAGCUGCAACAACUUGGCAAGCAGCGAUAUGGUGCAGAAGCUUGCCCUCAACACCAAACCACACCCGCAUCCCUACUACAUCCAAUGGCUGAACAACAGUGGUAAGGCAAAGGUAACUAGACUUGUGAGAAUUAAUUUUUCCAUCGGAUCCUACAAAGAUAUUGUUGAAUGUGAUGUUGUGCCUAUGCAAGCUUGUAACAUUCUGCUAGGUAGACCUUGGCAAUUUGAUAGAGAUUCUAUGCAUCAUGGUAGAUCAAAUCAGUAUUCUUUUCUAUACCAUGAUUGCAAAAUUGUGUUGCAUCCUAUAUCCCCUGAAACUAUUAUGCAAACUGAUGUUGCUAGGGCUACUAAAGCAAAGAGCGAGAGCAAUAAAAAUGAUAAAUCUGUAAUUGGUAACAAAGAUGAGAUAAAACUGAAAGGACGUUGUAUGAUAGCUACCAAAUCAGAUAUUAAUGAGUUCAAUGCAUCCACUUCUGUUGCUUAUGCUUUGAUAUGCAAGGAUGCUUUGAUUUCAAUUGAGGAUAUGCAAUGUUCUUUGCCCCCUGCUGUUGCUAACGUUUUGCAGGAGUAUUCUGAUGUGUUUCCAAGUGAGGUACCAGCGGGGCUGCCUCCACUACGUGGGAUUGAGCACCAAAUUGAUCUUAUUCCUGGAGCAGUUUUGCCAAAUCGUGCACCAUACAGGACAAACCCGGAGGAAACAAAGGAAAUUCAGCGACAAGUGCAAGAACUACUAGACAAAGGUUAUGUCCGAGAAUCUCUUAGUCCUUGUGCUGUUCCAGUAAUUUUAGUGCCUAAGAAAGAUGGAACAUGGCGUAUGUGUGUUGAUUGUAGAGCUAUUAAUAAUAUUACCAUUCGAUAUCGACACCCUAUUCCACGAUUAGAUGAUAUGCUAGAUGAGCUGAGUGGUGCUGUUGUGUUUUCAAAAGUUGAUUUACGUAGUGGGUACCACCAGAUUCGUAUGAAAUUGGGAGAUGAAUGGAAAACUGCUUUCAAAACUAAGUUCGGUUUGUAUGAGUGGUUAGUCAUGCCUUUUGGGUUAACUAAUGCACCUAGUACUUUCAUGAGAUUAAUGAAUGAGGUUUUGCGUGCUUUCAUUGAGAAAUUUGUUGUCGUAUAUUUUGAUGACAUAUUGAUUUACAGCAAAUCAUUGGAUGAACAUCUUGAUCAUUUACGUGCUGUUUUUAAUGCACUACGCGAGGCACGUUUAUUUGGUAACCUUGAGAAGUGCACCUUUUGCACCGAUCGAGUGUCUUUUCUUGGUUAUGUUGUGACUCCACAGGGAAUUGAGGUUGAUCAAGCCAAGGUGGAAGCUAUACAGGGAUGGCCUGUCCCAAAUACUAUCACCCAGGUGCGGAGUUUCCUAGGACUUGCUGGAUUCUAUCGCCGUUUUGUGAAGGAUUUCAGCACCAUUGCUGCACCAUUGAAUGAGCUUACAAAGAAGGGGGUGCCUUUUGAUUGGGGCAAAGCACAAGAGAAUUCAUUCAACAUGUUGAAAGAUAAGUUAACUCAUGCACCUCUCCUACAACUUCCUGAUUUUAAUAAGACUUUUGAGCUUGAAUGUGAUGCUAGUGGAAUUGGUUUGGGAGGUGUUUUAUUACAAGAGGGAAAACCUAUUGCAUAUUUUAGUGAGAAAUUGAGUGGGCCUGUUCUCAAUUAUUCAACUUAUGAUAAAGAACUCUAUGCUCUUGUUAGAACAUUAGAGACAUGGCAGCAUUAUUUGUGGCCCAAAGAGUUUAUUAUCCAUUCUAAUCAUGAAUCUUUGAAACAUAUUCGUAGUCAAGGAAAACUGAAUCGUAGGCAUGCAAAAUGGGUUGAAUUUAUUGAAUCUUUUCCUUAUAUUAUUAAGCAUAAGAAAGGGAAGGAAAAUAUUAUUGCUGAUGCUUUAUCACGGAGAUAUACUUUGCUGAAUCAACUUGAUUACAAGAUAUUUGGGUUAGAAACAGUUAAAGACCAAUAUGUUCAUGAUGCUGAUUUUAGAGACGUGUUUCUGCAUUGUAAAGAUGGAAAAGGGUGGAAUAAAUUCAUCGUUAGUGAUGGGUUUGUGUUUAGAGCUAACAAGCUAUGCAUUCCAGCUAGCUCUGUUCGUUUGUUGUUGUUGCAGGAAGCGCAUGGAGGUGGCUUGAUGGGACAUUUUGGAGCAAAGAAGACCGAGAACAUACUUGCUGGUCAUUUCUUUUGGCCAAGGAUGAAGAGAGAUGUGGAGAGGUUUGUUGCUCGUUGCACAACAUGUCAAAAGGCAAAGUCACGGUUAAAUCCCCACGGUUUGUAUUUACCUCUUCCUGUUCCUAAUGCUCCUUGGGAGGAUAUAUCUAUGGAUUUUGUGUUGGGACUACCAAGGACUUGGAGGGGACGUGAUAGUGUGUUUGUGGUUGUUGAUAGAUUUUGUAAGAUGGCACAUUUCAUACCAUGUCAUAAAACUGAUGAUGCUACAAAUAUUGCUGAUUUGUUCUUUCGAGAAAUUGUUCUCUUACAUGGUGUGCCCAACACAAUUGUUUCUGAUCGUGAUGCUAAAUUUCUUAGUCAUUUUUGGAAGACUUUGUGGUUCAAAUUGGGGACUAAGCUUUUAUUUUCCACCACUUGUCAUCCCCAAACUGAUGGUCAAACUGAAGUUGUUAAUAGAACUUUAUCCACUAUGUUAAGGGCUGUUUUAAAGAAGAAUAUUAAGAUGUGGGAAGAAUGUUUGCCUCAUAUUGAGUUCGCCUAUAAUCGUUCAUUGCAUUCUACUACAAAAAUGUGUCCUUUUGAGAUUGUCUAUGGCUUCUUGCCACGUGCUCCUAUUGAUUUAAUGCCUUUGCCAAGUUCUGAAAAAAUAAAUUUUGAUGCUAAGCAACGUGCUGAAUUGAUGUUAAAAUUGCAUGAAGCCACUAAACAAAACAUAGAGCGCAUGAAUGCUAAGUACAAAUGCGCUGGAGAUAAAGGUAGAAAGCAAUUGAUUCUGGAACCUGGGGAUUUGGUUUGGUUGCAUUUGCGAAAAGAUAGAUUUCCAGAACUGAGAAAAUCCAAAUUGAUGCCUAGAGCUGAUGGUCCUUUUAAAGUGCUGCAACGAAUUAAUGAGAAUGCAUAUAAGCUUGAUCUUCCUGCAGAUUUUGGGGUUAGUCCCACAUUUAACAUUGCAGAUUUAAAGCCUUAUUUGGGUGAGGAAGAUGAGCUUGAGUCGAGGACGACUCAAAUGCAAGCAAGGGAGGAUGAUGAGGACAUCAACACCAGCGAUACAUCCUCUCCGACACAACCUAUAGCUGGUCCUCUUACUCGUGCUCGUGUUCGUCAACUUAAUAAUCAAGUGAGUUCCUUGAUAAGUUCUUGUCCAUCUUGUUUAGACAAUGGAAACGCGUGCACUCUUGUUUUGAUUAGGAACCAAGGAGAAGACCGACAGGGAGAAGGACUCAUGCUCGCUGGAUUCGGACAGCAGCAAAGCGCCAACUUGUGACCGUUACCACGGUUGCAUACGGAUAAGGAUUCAGGCGCUUCAGGACUUGUUGGAAAGCUUAUCAAGUCUACUUUCAUAUGAAUCAAGUCCCACGUCAAUACCUGUUCGGCAGCAGCGGCAAUGAUCCAAUUACCGUCGAUAGGUCUUGCUGUCCACGGUGCUGCGUCACCUCAUUUCAGGCUGAUGGCCAUUGUAUCAAGUUGGGUCCAUUAGGGACGCAUCCUAGGGUUGGAGGACGACCCCAACACGUCUUUGGUCGUCAAUCCAUCUACUUAUAUCCCUCUAGAGCCGCCAUGGUCGUUGGGUUUUGUUUAGAUCAAGUUUAGCCUUCGCUACUUGCUUGUAGGCGCGCGUGCAGGAUCAGCCGCCCGUCUCCUUGUCUUCGGAACCCCAUUGUUGAUUCAGAUUCAGUUUGAAACCUUCAAUUCAUCUUGCAAAUUCAGUGCUUGUUUCCUCGUUCUUGCUAGUUCUUCGACUGCUUGCAGGACGGGAGCCCUAGGGGCUGGUUGUCGCGCUCCACAAGAUCGUGACGGCUAUUGGACGUGGUGUAUCGGUUGCUAAGGCGCGGUCUUGAGGGCUGUAGUCGGGCCGUGAACGUCAUCUCCAUCCACCAAUCGAGUUAUCCCCGUCUCUCAUCAAAAGAUCAGGCAAAAACCCUAGCGGGUUCGCAUCAUAUCUUACACCAAAAUUAGCACUAUCUCUAAACAGACCGAGCCUCCACUUGAGCCUCUUCACCUAGGAGUACCAACAGGUGCUUCCAAAAUGGUUUCUUAGACUUUGGUGCAUUAGGCGCAAACCGUGCACAUAUCUUGCACCGAAACUAAUACUAUCUCUAAGCACACCAAAGCGAGAUUCCAUAUGACACACGUCAUCAAGGAGUUCUAUCGGUGUGUCCAAAUUAAUUUCUAAGCAUAUGGUACGUUCCAUGCAGACCGUGCAUCUAUCUUGCAUCAAGAUUAGCACUAUCUCUAAAUAGACCAAACCGAGCUUUCACUUGAGCCUUUUAUCUAGGAGUACCAUCGGGUGCGUCGAAAAUGGUUUCUUAGCCUAUGCUGCAUUAUGUGUAAACUUUGCACCUAUCUUGCACCAAAACUAACACUGUCUCCAAGCAGACCAAAGCAAGAUUUUAUAUGACACACGUCAUCUAGGAGUUCCAUCAUGUGCGUCCAGAUUGAUUUCCAAGCAUUUGGUAUGUUGCAUGCAAACCGUGCACCUAUCUUGCAUCAAGAUUAGCACUAUCUCUAAACAGACCGAACUGAGCAUCCACUUGAGCCCCUUCACCUAGGAGUACCAACAAGUGCGUCCAAAAUGGUUUCUUAGGCUAUGCUGCAUUAGGUGCAAACUGUGCACAUAUCUUGCACCGAAACUAACAAUGUCUCCAAAUGGACCGAAGCGAGAUUCCAUAGGACACACGUCGUCAAGGAGUUCCAUCGGGUGCAUCCAAAUUGAUUUCCAAGCAUAUUGUAUGUUCCAUGCAAACCAUGCACCUACCUUGCAUAAGGAUUAGCACUAUGUCCAAACUGACCGAACCAAGCUUCCACUUGAGCCGCUUCACCCAAGAGUACCAAAUAGUGCAUCCAAAAUGGUUUCUUAGACUUUGGUGCAUUAGGCGCAAACUGUGCACCUAUCUUUCACCAAAACUUACAAUGUCUACAAACAGACCGAAGCAAGAUUCCAUAUGACACACGUCAUCUAGGAGUUCCAUUGGGUGUGUCCAAAUUGAUUUCUAAGCAUAUGGUAUGUUCCUUGCAAAUCAUGCACCUAUCUUGCAUCAAGAUUAGCACUAUCUCCAAACAUAUCAAACCGAGCUUCCACUUGAGCCUCUUCACCGAAGUACCAACAGGUGCUUCCAAAAUGGUUUCUUAAACUAUGGUGCAUUAGGCGCAAACCAUGCACAUAUUUUGCACCGAAACUAACACUAUUUCUAAACAGACCAAAGUGAGAUUCCAUAUGACACAUGUCAUCAAGGAGUUCCAUCGGGUGCAUUCAAAUUGAUUUCCAAGCAUAUGGUAUGUUCCAUGCAAACCGUGCACCUAUCUUGCAUCAAGAUAAACACUAUCUCCAAACAGACCGAACCGAGCUUCCACUUGAGCCUCUUCAUCUAGGAGUACAAACAGGUGUGUCAAAAAUGGUUUCUUAGACUAUGGUGCAUUAGACACAAACUAUGCACCUAUCUUGCACCGAAACUAACAUUGUCUCCAAACAGACCGAAGCGAGAUUCCAUAUGACACACGUCAUCUAGGAGUUCCAUUGGGUGCGUCCAAAUUGAUUUCUUAACAUAUGGUACGUUGCAUGAAAACUGUGCAACUAUCUUGCAUCAAGGUUAGCACUAUAUCCGAACAGAACAAAUCGAGCCUCCACUUGAGCCUCUUCAACUACGAGUACCAUCGGGUGUGUCUAAAAUGGUUUCUUAGCCUAUGGUGCAUUAGGCGUAAACCGUGCACAUAUCUUCUACCAAAACUAACACUGUCUCUAAACGAACCGAAGCAAGAUUCCAUAUGACGUAAAUCAUCAAGGAGUUAUAUCAGGUGCGUCCUAAUUGAUUUCUAAGCAUAUCGUAUGUUCCAUGCAAACCAUGCAUCAAUCUUGCAUCAAGAUUAGCACUAUCUCCAAAUAGACCGAACCGAGCAUCCACUUGAGCCCCUUCACCUAGGAGUACCAACAAGUGCGUCCAAAAUGGUUUCUUGGACUAUGGUGCAUUAGGUGCAAACUGUGCACCUAUCUAGCACCGAAACUAACAAUGUCUCCAAAUGGACCGAAGCAAGAUUCCAAAUGACACACGUCAUCAAGGAGUUCCAUCGGGUGCAUCCAAAUUGAUUUCCAAGCAUAUGGUAUGUUCCAUGCAAAUCGUGCACCUAUCUUGCAUCAAGACUAGCACUGUCUCUAAACAGACCGAACCGAGCCUCCACUUGAGCCUCUUCACCUAGGAGUACCAACAGGAGCUUCCAAAAUAGUUUCUUAGACUUUGGUGCAUUAGGCGCAAACCAUGCACAUAUCUUGCACCGAAACAUAUUCUAUCUAAGCACACCAAAGCGAUAUUCCAUAUGACACACGUCAUCAAGGAGUUCUAUCGGGUGUGUCCAAAUUAAUUUCUAUGCAUAUGGUACGUUCCAAGCAGACCAUGCAUCUAUCUUCCAUCUAGAUUAGCACUAUCUCCAAAUAGACCAAAUCGAGCUUUCAAUUGAGCCUUUUACCUAGGAGUACCAUCGGGUGCGUCCAAAAUGGUUUCUUAGCCUAUGCUGCAUUAUGUGCAAACCUUGCACCUAUCUUGCACCAAAACUAACACUAUCUCCUAACGGACUAAAGCAAGAUUUUGAAUGACGCACAUCAUCUAAGAGUUCUAUCAUGUGCGUCCAGAUUGAUUUCCAAGCAUUUGGUAUAUUCCAUGCAAACCGUGCACCUAUCUUGCAUCAAGAUUAGCACUGUCUCCAAACAGACCGAACCGAGCAUCCACUUGAGCCCCUUCACUUAGGAGUACCAACAAGUGCGUCCAAAUUGGUUUCAUAGAGUAUGGUGCAUUAGGUGCAAACUGUGCACCUAUCUUGCACUGAAACUAACAAUGUCUCCAAAUGGACCGAAGCGAGAUUCCAUAUGACACACGUCGUCAAGGAGUUCCAUCGGGUGCAUCCAAAUUGAUUUCCAAGCAUAUGGUAUGUUCCAUGAAAACCAUGCACCUACCUUGCAUAAGGAUUAGCACUAUCUCCAAACUGACCGAACCAAGCUUCCACUUGAGCCUCUUCACCUAAGAGUUCCAAAUAGUACGUCCAAAAUGGUUUCUUAGACUAUAGUGCAUUAGGCGCAAACUGUGCACCUACCUUGCACUAAAACUUACAAUGUCUACAAACGGAUCGAAGCAAGAUUCCAUAUGACACACGUCAUCUAGGAGUUCCAUUGGGUGCGUCCAAAUUGAUUUCUAAGCAUAUGGUAUGUUCCUUGCAAAUCAUGCACCUAUCUUGCAUCAAGAUUAGCAAUAUCUCCAAACAGAUCAAACCGACCUUCCACUUGAGCCUCUUCACCGAAGUACUAACAAGUGCUUCCAAAAUGGUUUCUUAGACUAUGGUGCAUUAGGCGCAAACCAUGCACAUAUCAUGCACCGAAACUCACACUAUUUCUAAACAGACCAAAGUGAGAUUCCAUAUGACACACGUCAUCAAGGAGUUCCAUCGGGUGCAUCCAAAUUGAUUUCCAAGCAUAUGGUAUGUUCUAUGCAAACCGUGCACCUAUCUUGCAUCAAGAUUAGCACUAUCUCCAAACAGACCGAACCGAGCUAACACUUGAGCCUCUUCAUCUAGGAGUACAAACAGGUGUGUCAAAAAUAGUUUCUUAGACUAUAGUGCAUUAUGCACAAACUAUGCACCUAUCUUGCACCAAAACUAACAUUAUCUCCAAACAGACCGAAGCGAGAUUCAAUAUGACACACAUCAUCUAGGAGUUCCAUUGGGUGCGUCCAAAUUGAUUUCUUAACAUAUGGUACGUUGCAUGCAAACUGUGCAACUAUAUUGCAUCAAGAUUGGCACUAUAUCCGAAUAGACCAAAUCGAGCCUCCACUUGAGCCUGUUCAACUACGAGUACCAUCGGGUGCGUCUAAAAUGGUUUCUUAGCCUAUGGUGCAUUAGGCGUAAACCGUGCACAUAUCUUCUACCAAAACUAACACUAUCUCUAAACGAACCGAAGCAAGAUUCCAUAUGACACAAAUCAUCAAGGAGUUAUAUCAGGUGCGUCCUAAUUGAUUUCUAAGCAUAUCGUAUGUUCCAUGCAAACCAUGCAUCUAUCUUGCAUCAAGAUUAGCACUAUCUCCAAACAGACCGAACCAAGCAUCCACUUGAGCCCCUUCACCUAGGAGUACCAACAAGUGCGUCCAAAAUGGUUUCUUAGACUAUGGUGCAUUAGGUGCAAACUGUGCACCUAUCUUGCACCGAAACUAACAAUGUCUCCAAAUGGACCGAAGCGAGAUUCAAAAUGACACACGUCAUCAAGGAGUUCCAUCGGGUGCAUCCAAAUUGAUUUCCAUGUAUAUGGUAUGUUCCAUGCAAAUCGUGCACCUAUCUUGCAUCAAGACUAGCACUAUCUCUAAACAGACCGAACCGAGCCUCCACUUGAGCCUCUUCACCUAGGAGUACCAAUAGGUGCUUCCAAAAUGGUUUCUUAGACUUUGGUGCAUUAGGCGCAAACCGUGCACAUAUCUUGCACCGAAACUAAUACUAUCUCUAAGCAUACCAAAGCGAGAUUCCAUAUGACACACGUCAUCAAGGAGUUCUAUCGGGUGUGUCCAAAUUAAUUUCUAAGUAUAUGGUACGUUCCAUGGAGACCUUGCAUCUAUCUUGCAUCAAGAUUAGCACUAUCACCAAAUAGACCAAACCAAGCUUUCACUUGAGCCUUUUAUCUAGGAGUACCAUCGGGUGCGUCCAAAAUAGUUUCUUAGCCUAUGCUGCAUUAUGUGUAAACUUUGCACCUAUCUUGCACCAAAACUAACACUGUCUCCAAGCAUACCAAAGCAAGAUUUUAUAUGACACACGUCCUCUAGGAGUUCCAUCAUGUGCGUCCAGAUUGAUUUCCAAGCAUUUGGUAUGUUCCAUGCAAACCGUACACCUAUCUUGCAUCAAGAUUAGCACUAUCUCUAAACAGACCGAACCGAGCAUCCACUUGAGCCCCUUCACCAAGGAGUACCAACAAGUGCGUCCAAAAUGGUUUCUUAGGCUAAUUAGGUGCAAACUGUGCACAUAUCUUGCAUCGAAACUAAUAAUGUCUCCAAAUGGACCGAAGCGAGAUUCCAUAUGACACACGUCGUCAAGGAGUUCCAUCGGGUGCAUCCAAAUUGAUUUCCAUGCAUAUUGUAUGUUCCAUGCAAACCAUGCACCUGCCUUGCAUAAGGAUUAGCACUAUGUCCAAACUGACCGAACCAAGCUUCCACUUGAGCCGCUUCACCCAAGAGUACCAAAUAGUGCAUCCAAAAUGGUUCUUAGACUAUGGUGCAUUAGGCGCAAACUAUGCACCUAUCUUGCACUAAAACUUACAAUGUCUACAAACAAACUGAAGCAAGGUUCCAUAUGACACACGUCAUCUAGGAGAUCCAUUGGGUGCGUCCAAAUUGAUUUCUAAGCAUAUGGUAUGUUCCUUGCAAAUCAUGCACCUAUCUUGCAUCAAGAUUAGCACUAUCUCCAAACAGAUCAAACCGAGCUUCCACUUGAGCCUCUUCACCGAAGUACCAACAAGUGCUUCCAAAAUGGUUUCUUAGACUAUGGUGCAUUAGGCGCAAACCAUGCACAUAUCUUGUACCGAAACUAACUAUUUCUAAACUGACUAAAGUGAGAUUCCAUAUGACACACGUCAUCAAGGAGUUCCAUCGGGUGCAUCCAAAUUGAUUUCCAAGCAUAUGGUAUGUUCCAUGCAAACCGUGCACCUAUCUUGCAUCAUGAUUAGCACUAUCUCCAAACAGACCGAACCGAGCUUCCACUUGAGCCUCUUCAUCUAGGAGUACAAACAGGUGUGUCAAAAAUAGUUUCUUAGACUAUGGUGCAUUACGCAACAACUAUGCACCUAUCUUGCAACGAAACUAACAUUGUCUCCAAACAGACCGAAGCGAGAUUCAAUAUGACACACGUCAUCUAGGAGUUCCAUUGGGUGCGUCCAAAUUGAUUUCUUAACAUAUGGUACGUUGCAUGCAAACUGUGCAACUAUCUUGCAUCAAGAUUGGCACUAUAUCCGAACAGACCAAAUCGAGCCUCCACUUGAGCCUCUUCAACUACGAGUACCAUCGGGUGCGUCUAAAAUGGUUUCUUAGCCUAUGGUGCAUUAGGCGUAAACUGUGCACAUAUCUUCUACCAAAACUAACACUGUCUCUAAACAAACCAAAGCAAGAUUCCUUAGGACACAAAUCAUCAAGGAGUUAUAUCAGGUGCGUCCUAAUUGAUUUCUAAGCAUAUCGUAUGUUCCAUGCAAACCAUGCAUCUAUCUUGCAUCAAGAUUAGCACUAUCUCCAAACAGACCGAACCAAGCAUCCACUUGAGCCCCUUCACCUAGGAGUACCAACAAGUGCGUCCAAAAUGGUUUCUUAGACUAUGGUGCAUUAGGUGCAAACUGUGCACCUAUCUUGCACCGAAACUAACAAUGUCUCCAAAUGGACCGAAGCGAGAUUCAAAAUGACACACGUCAUCAAGGAGUUCCAUCGGGUGCAUCCAAAUUGAUUUCCAUGUAUAUGGUAUGUUCCAUGCAAAUCGUGCACCUAUCUUGCAUCAAGACUAGCACUAUCUCUAAACAGACCGAACCGAGCCUCCACUUGAGCCUCUUCACCUAGGAGUACCAAUAGGUGCUUCCAAAAUGGUUUCUUAGACUUUGGUGCAUUAGGCGCAAACCGUGCACAUAUCUUGCACCGAAACUAAUACUAUCUCUAAGCAUACCAAAGCGAGAUUCCAUAUGACACACGUCAUCAAGGAGUUCUAUCGGGUGUGUCCAAAUUAAUUUCUAAGUAUAUGGUACGUUCCAUGGAGACCUUGCAUCUAUCUUGCAUCAAGAUUAGCACUAUCACCAAAUAGACCAAACCAAGCUUUCACUUGAGCCUUUUAUCUAGGAGUACCAUCGGGUGCGUCCAAAAUAGUUUCUUAGCCUAUGCUGCAUUAUGUGUAAACUUUGCACCUAUCUUGCACCAAAACUAACACUGUCUCCAAGCAUACCAAAGCAAGAUUUUAUAUGACACACGUCCUCUAGGAGUUCCAUCAUGUGCGUCCAGAUUGAUUUCCAAGCAUUUGGUAUGUUCCAUGCAAACCGUACACCUAUCUUGCAUCAAGAUUAGCACUAUCUCUAAACAGACCGAACCGAGCAUCCACUUGAGCCCCUUCACCAAGGAGUACCAACAAGUGCGUCCAAAAUGGUUUCUUAGGCUAAUUAGGUGCAAACUGUGCACAUAUCUUGCAUCGAAACUAAUAAUGUCUCCAAAUGGACCGAAGCGAGAUUCCAUAUGACACACGUCGUCAAGGAGUUCCAUCGGGUGCAUCCAAAUUGAUUUCCAUGCAUAUUGUAUGUUCCAUGCAAACCAUGCACCUGCCUUGCAUAAGGAUUAGCACUAUGUCCAAACUGACCGAACCAAGCUUCCACUUGAGCCGCUUCACCCAAGAGUACCAAAUAGUGCAUCCAAAAUGGUUCUUAGACUAUGGUGCAUUAGGCGCAAACUAUGCCCCUAUCUUGCACUAAAACUUACAAUGUCUACAAACAAACUGAAGCAAGGUUCCAUAUGACACACGUCAUCUAGGAGAUCCAUUGGGUGCGUCCAAAUUGAUUUCUAAGCAUAUGGUAUGUUCCUUGCAAAUCAUGCACCUAUCUUGCAUCAAGAUUAGCACUAUCUCCAAACAGAUCAAACCGAGCUUCCACUUGAGCCUCUUCACCGAAGUACCAACAAGUGCUUCCAAAAUGGUUUCUUAGACUAUGGUGCAUUAGGCGCAAACCAUGCACAUAUCUUGUACCGAAACUAACACUAUUUCUAAACAGACUAAAGUGAGAUUCCAUAUGACACACGUCAUCAAGGAGUUCCAUCGGGUGCAUCCAAAUUGAUUUCCAAGCAUAUGGUAUGUUCCAUGCAAACCGUGCACCUAUCUUGCAUCAUGAUUAGCACUAUCUCCAAACAGACCGAACCGAGCUUCCACUUGAGCCUCUUCAUCUAGGAGUACAAACAGGUGUGUCAAAAAUAGUUUCUUAGACUAUGGUGCAUUACGCAACAACUAUGCACCUAUCUUGCAACGAAACUAACAUUGUCUCCAAACAGACCGAAGCGAGAUUCAAUAUGACACACGUCAUCUAGGAGUUCCAUUGGGUGCGUCCAAAUUGAUUUCUUAACAUACGGUACGUUGCAUGCAAACUGUGCAACUAUCUUGCAUCAAGAUUGGCAUUAUAUCCGAACAGACCAAAUCGAGCCUCCACUUGAGCCUCUUCAACUACGAGUACCAUCGGGUGCGUCUAAAAUGGUUUCUUAGCCUAUGGUGCAUUAGGCGUAAACUGUGCACAUAUCUUCUACCAAAACUAACAUUGUCUCUAAACGAACCAAAGCAAGAUUCCUUAUGACACAAAUCAUCAAGGAGUUAUAUCAGGUGCGUCCUAAUUGAUUUCUAAGCAUAUCGUUUGUUCCAUGCAAACCAUGCAUCUAUCUUGCAUCAAGAUUAGCACUAUCUCCAAACAGACCGAACCAAGCAUCCACUUGAGCCCCUUCACCUAGGAGUACCAACAAGUGCGUCCAAAAUGGUUUCUUAGACUAUGGUGCAUUAGGCGCAAACUGUGCACAUUUCUUGCACCAAAACUAACAUGGUCUCCAAACAGACCGAAAGCGAGAUUCCAUAUGAGACGUCAUCUNNNNNNNNNNNNNNNNNNNNNNNNNNNNNNNNNNNNNNNNNNNNNNNNNNNNNNNNNNNNNNNNNNNNNNNNNNNNNNNNNNNNNNNNNNNNNNNNNNNNCAACCGAGCUUUCCUUGAGCCUUUUACCUAGGAGUACCAUCGGGUGCGUGCAAAAUGGUUUCUUAGUCUAUGCUGCAGUAUGUGCAAACCUUACACCUAUCUUGCACCAAAACUAACACUGUCUCCAAACAGACCGAAGCAAGAUUUCAUAUGACACACGUCAUCUAGGAGUUCCAUCAUGUGCUUCCAGAUUGAUUUCCAAGCAUUUGGUAUGUUCCAUGCAAACCGUGCACCUAUCUUGCAUUAAGAUUAGCACUAUCUCCAAACAGACUGAACCGAGCAUCCACUUGACCCCCUUCACCUAGGAGUACCAACAAGUGCGUCCAAAAUGGUUUCUUAGACUAUGGUGCAUUAGGUGCAAAUUGUGCACCUAUCUUCCACUGAAACUAACAAUAUCUCGAAAUGGACCGAAGCGAGAUUCCAUAUGACAUCCAUCGGGUGCAUCCAAAUCGAUUUCCAAGCAUAUGGUAUGUUCCAUGCAAACCGUGCACCUAUCUUGCAUCAACAUUAACACUAUCUCCAAACAGACCGAACCGAGCUUCCAAUUGAGCCUCUUCAUCUAGGAGUACAAACAGGUGCCUCAAAAAUGAUUUCUUAGACUAUGGUGCAUUAGGCACAAACUAUGCACCUAUCUUGCACCGGAACUAACAUUAUCUCCAAACAGACUGAACCGAGCUUGUACUUGAGCCUCUUCAUCUAGGAGUACAAACAGGUGCGUUAAAAAUGGUUUCUUAGACAAUGGUGCAUUAGGCACAAACUAUGCACCUAUCUUGCACUGAAACUAACAUUGUCUCCAAACAGACCGAAGCGAGAUUCCAUAUGACACACGUCAUCUAGGAGUUCCAUUGGGUGCAUCCAAAUUGAUUUCUUAGCAUAUGGAACGUUCCAUGCAAACUGUGCAACUAUCUUACAUCAAGACUAGCACUAUAUCUGAACAGACCAAAUCGAGCCUCCACUUGAGCCUCUUCAACUAUGAGUACCGUCAGGUGCGUUUAAAAUGGUUUCUUAGCCUAUGGUGCGUUUAAAAUGGUUUCUUAGCCAAAUCGUGCACCUAUCUUGCAUUAAGAUUAGCACUAUCUCCAAACAGACUGAACCGAGGAUCCACUUGAGCCCCUUCACCUAGGAGUACCAACAAGUGCGUCCAAAACGGUUUCUUAGACUUUGGUGCAAACUGUGCACCUAUCUUGCACUAAAACUAACAAUAUCUCCAAAUGGACCGAAGUGAGAUUCCAUAUGACACAUGUCAUCUAGGAGUUCCAUUGGGUGCAUCCAAAUUGAUUUCUGAGCAUAUGGUAUGUUCCAUGCAAAUCGUGCACUUAUCUUGCGUCAAGAUUAACACUAUCUCUAAACAGACCGAACCGAGCCUCCACUUGAGCCUCUUCACCUAGGAGUACCAAUAGGUGCUUCCAAAAUGGUUUCUUAGACUUUGGUGCAUUAGGCGUAAACCGUGCACAUAUCUUGCACCGAAACUAAUACUGUCCCUAAGCACACAAAAGCGAGAUUCCAUAUGACACACGUCAUCAAGGAGUUCUAUCGGGUGUGUCCAAAUUAAUUUCUAAGCAUAUGGUAUGUUCCAUGCAGACCGUGCAUCUAUCUUGCAUCAAGAUUAGCACUAUCUCCAAAUAGACCAAACCAAGCUUUCACUUGAGCCUUUUACUUAGGAGUACCAUCGGGUGCAUCCAAAAUGGUUUCUUAGCCUAUGCUGCAUUAUGUACAAACCUUGCACCUAUCUUGCACCAAAACUAACACUGUCUCCAAACAGACCAAAGCAAGAUUUUGUAUGACACACGCCAUCUAGAAUUCCGUCAUGUGCAUAUAGAUUGAUUUCCAAGAAUUUGGUAUGUUCCAUGCAAACCGUGCACCUAUCUUGCAUCAAGAUUAGCACUAUCUCCAAACAGACCGAACCGAGUAUCCACUUGAGCCCCUUCACCUAGGAGUACCAACAAGUGCAUCCAAAAUGGUUUCUUAGACUAUGGUGCAUUAGGUGCAAACUGUGCAUCUAUCUUGCACCGAAACUAACAAUGUCUCCAAAUGGACCGAAGCGAGAUUCCAUAUGGCACACGUCAUCAAGGAGUUCCAUCGGGUGCAUCCAAAUUGAUUUCCAAGCAUAUGGUAUGUUCCAUGCAAACGAUACACCUACCUUGCAUAAGGAUUAGCACUGUCUCCAAACUGACCAAACCAAGCUUCCACUUGAGCCUCUUCACCUAGGAGUACCAAAUCGUGCGUCCAAAAUGGUUUCUUAGACUAUGGUGCAUUAGGCACAAACUGUGCACCUAUCUUGCACUAAAACUUACAAUGUCUACAAACGGACUGAAGCAAGAUUCCAUAUGACACACGUCAUCUAGAAGUUCCAUUGGGUGCGUCCAAAUUGAUUUCUAAGCAUAUGGUAUGUUCCUUACAAAUCAUGCACCUAUCUUGCAUCAAGAUUAGCACUAACUCCAAAUAAAUCAAACCGAGCUUCCACUUGAGCCUCUUCACCGAAGUACCAACAGGUGCUUCCAAAAUGGUUUCUUAGACUAUAGUGCAUUAGGCGCAAACCCUGCAGAUAUCUUGCACCAAAACUAAUACUGUUUCUAAACAGACCAAUGUGAGAUUCCAUAUGACACAUGUCAUCAAGGAGUUCCAUUGGGUGCGUCCAAAUUGAUUUCUAAGCAUAUGGUAUGUUCCAUGCAAACUGUGCACCUAUCUUGCAUCAUGAUUGGCACUAUGUCCAAACAGACCAAACCGAGCUUCCACUUGAGCCUCUUCAUCUAGGAGUACAAACAGGUGUGUCAAAAAUGGUUUCUUAGACUAUGGUGCAUUAGGCACAAACUAUGCACCUAUCUUGCACCGAAACUAACAUUGUCUCCAAACAGACCGAAGCGAGAUUCCAUAUGACACACAUCAUCUAGGAUUUCCAUUGGGUGCGUCCAAAUUGAUUUCUUAACAUAUGGUACGUUGCAUGCAAACUGUGGAACUAUCUUGCAUCAACAUUAGCACUAUAUCCGAACAGACCAAAUCGAGCCUCCACUUGAGCCUCUUCAACUAUGAGUACCAUCGGGUGCGUCUAAAAUUGCUUAGCCUAUGGUGCAUUAGGCGUAAACCGUGCACAUAUCUUCUACCAAAACUAACACUGUCUCUAAACGAACCGAAGCAAGAUUCCAUAUGACACAAAUCAUCAAGGAGUUAUAUCAGGUGUGUCCUAAUUGAUUUCUAAGCAUAUCGUAUGUUCCAUGCAAACCGUGCAUCUAUCUUGCAUCAAGAUUAGCACUAUCUCCAAACAGACCGAACCGAGCAUCCACUUGAGCCCCUUCACCUAGGAGUACCAACAAGUGCGUCCAAAAUGGUUUCUUAGACUAUGGUGCAUUAGGUGCAAACUGUGCACCUAUCUUGCACCAAAACUAACAAUGUCAUGUGUUGUGUGCACCCACGAUCAAGUACCCAAUGCCUUCCUCCGGCUUUAUAAUUUAUCUACAAAACAAAUCAGUGUUUCUUAGGUACCCAUACUUGUUUGGGUCCUUGGAGGUUAGUGACUAAGCUUUUUGUACCCAAAUGGCCUUCUUCUUUGGACCCACAAUUGGUGUACCAACAAACUUAGCAUGCACACCCUUCUCACCCUUGGUAAGCACAUAACAAGAAUCAAAUGGAAUGUAAGAUACAUUAGCAUUUUUCUUGUUCUUGUUCACUUUAUUGCAAUUAAGCUCUAGGUGCCCAACUUGCUUGCAUUUGUUGCAAUACCAACUGUUGCUCUUCACAAAGCUAGGCUUGUGAGUUGCAAAGGCCGCCUUGCCUUUCUUGGGGGUAUAGCCUAAUCCCUCUUUGUUUAGAGAAAACCUUUGACUACCCAAGCACUUUAGCAAGCGGGCCUCACCACCAUAGGCCUUGCCUAGGGCGUGAGUGAGCUCAUCCACCUCUCUCUUGAGAGUCUCAUUCUCAACCUUUAGUGAGGUAUCACAAGUGACACUAACACUAGAAGUAGAGGUAGAGUUGGUGGUGGUGGAUGAAGACCUACAAGAAGAGUUAGUGGCAACAACAAUAGGUGGGUUGGGUGAUUCUUUAAUUAAGUCACAUGUUGUGCCCACAUCACAUGAUACAACAACCUUUUCCCUGUUCUCUUCUAACAACAAGGAGUGAGCUUUCUCAAGCUUGGUGUGAGCCUUGUCAAGCUUCUCAUGGGCUUCCACUAGCCUCUCAUGAUUAGCAUUGAGCUCAUCAAAGGAUUGCUCUAGAGCUUUUAACUUCUUGGCCAAUUCUUUGCACUUCUUGUUUUUAGAUUGAAUGAGAGAUUCGGCUUGUUCUAACAUGUCCAUGAGUUGUUCAUUAGUGAAUUUAUUUUCAUCAUCACUAUCACUAUCAUGUUCAUGUUCACUUUCACUUUCAUCAUAUUGUACCUUGUGGCACUUGGCCAUGAAGCAUGAAGGAGUGUCGAAGAGUGAUGGCUUGUUGAUAGCAAUGCUUGCAAGUGCCUUCUUUUUGGAUGAUUUGUAAUCAUCGCUUGAGUCAUCAUCCGAAGAGGCAUCACUAUCCCAUGUCACAACAUAGGAUCCACCCUUCUUCUUCUUCUUGAAGACCAACUUCUUCUCUUUCUUUUCUUUCUUCUCCUUCUUGUUCUUCUUGUUAUGCUCAUCAUUGUCACUAUUGUAAGGACAAUCCGCCACAAUAUGAUCGGGGCUCUUGCACUUGUAGCAUAGCCUCACAUAUUCCUUGUUCUUGGAGUUGUCCCUUCUCUUCCUUGUAUGGUAGCCCUUUUUCUUCAUCAUCUUGCCAAACUUGCGGACAAAGAGUGCUAGUGCUUCAUCAUCACUAUUGUUGGGUAUUCUUAACAUCAUUACCAAAAGUAGACUAAGUUCUCUAAAUCUAGUAACGGUGCCGAAAAUGCCAAACCUAUCCCUCACACCACUUAAGCCAAGUUGUCAUCCCCAGCAUGACAUGAGAGAUGCGGUAUUGAAAUAUGCAAUUGCUCUUCUAAAUAAAUAAUGAAUGGGAUCUGCAAGCGCACAGAUUAAUACCGAUGUAGCAUUUUAACCGGGAAGUAUUCCAGGUAUCGUUAUUUAUAUUUUUACCACUGGGAAGGGAUUAACAAUCAUCAAUAUUGAUUACAGAAUAGAAUAUGAGAUUGAGUAUCUAUCAUUGCAUGUAUAAUUGAGAACAUUUAUCUAACUCUUUCAUACAGGGAUAAGUGUCACAUUAAAGAUAUAUGAAGUAAUAAUUAGUGACAAAGAUAAUUAGUCUGAUCUAGCCACAUAAUAAAUAUGAUAAGCACCUCAAUUAGAUACUCUAGAAAGUCAUUAGCAUGGUAUUAGAACGAACUACAAGAAUAUUUCCUAAGUUAUUCUCAACUAUAUAGUCUAGCAUUAUCAUAAUUAGUGCAAGCAUACUUAGCAAUCAUUGUGAGACAAGACUACGCCCAUGCAUAGUGAUAUUAGCAAGGUAAAUGAGAAACAUAGCAAUCACUCUCCUGUAAUAAUAUUGCUCUGCCAGCCCAAUACACGAGAGGGGGACUAUAUAAGAAUCAAUGAAGCUGUCACUAUCACGAACUACCCCACGAUCUGGCAUAUUGGGUACAAUCGCAGAUAAAUACGGUAUAAGCACCACACCUACACAAUAUAUAUCAUUUACCCAUGGAUCCGAUGGAUAAAUGCUAUACGAUCCUAAGCAUGUAUAUAGAUCUAAUCUAACUAAGCCAAGUACAUAACUAUGAUAAACUAAGAACAAUAUAAUCUUGAAUAUAAGCAAGUAGAGCAAAGUCAUAAGCAAUAUAUUGAAGUAGAACAAAGUCAUAUUCAUAAUAUUGAAGAACAAAGAUAAUUAGAAAGCAAUUAGAAGCACAAUUAGAGAAUUACCAAGAAUCCUCCUGACAGGUCCGGAAACCAAUCGAAGAUUGACUCCUUCUAGUUCUAAUCCUAUGUACCUAUGCUAAUCUAGAUGUCUAAUUGAUGUGGUGGCUCUAAUCUUGAUCAGAGGCUUCUUUUCCCUUGAAGAGUAAUGAAUUAGGGUUGAGAGGCUCUCUCCUCUAGGGGCCAGGGGGUCUGGUUUUAUAGUCCCUUCAAGUGAAUAUGGGCCGUUAGAUAAAACCGACAUUGAUUGAACGGUUAUCCUUGAUCCUUUAGGUCAGUGGAGCUCCCACGAAACAGAGUCCUGAUUGGACUCAGAGAGGGGGCGGGCGCCCUGCCUCUAGCCCCGUUCGGCCUCCGCUUUCUUUCCGUGGCUUCUGAAGUCUUCUAGAUGUAAGAUAAUUGCGCGGCACGUUAAUAUCUCUAUGUAAUCCCGACGUGUGGGCCUUUCUUCCGUAUUUCCUGAUAACCCCCUGCAGAAAUAGACAAACACCAAAACUUGUGGAAUUCUGUCAGAUAAAACCCAUAGUCUAGAUGUUGAUUUCAUUUGGAUCCUUUUCUUUGUUUAUUUGAUAAUUAAAUUUGAUACUUAAGGACCGUCAACAAACUCCCUCAAGCUUACCUCUUGCUCGUCCCAGAGCAAGGAUAGAUUAGAAGUUGCUGGAAUACUUUUAAAAAUUGACGGUACACAUGCUUUUAAAUGAAGAUCUCAUCUCUGAGUUAGAGUAAACUGUCAAGACUUAAAACUUACUUACUUUACCUUUCACCAUGGGACUUGUAACCGUCACUUCUGUCUUGAGUGGUUAAAAGAUAGAACAGUCUAGUCAAGUGCCAUGUCUCUUAUUCUUGAUCAGCUAUAGCUCUGGAGUUUUUGCAGAUUUUCAAAUAAAACUCAGAGAUUCCUUUGUAUGACUCUCUCAUAUCUCUCUUUUGUGGUAUUUCUGGAUCCUUACCAAGGCAGUGAUGGUAUAUGCCUUCUCUCAAAAAGUAUAUUGUAUUGUUAGUUUCGGUGCAAGAUAGGUGCACAGUUUGCACCUAAUGCACCAUAGUCUAAGAAACCAUUUUGGACGCACUUGUUGGUACUCCUAGGUGAAGGGGCUCAAGUGGAUGCUCGGUUCGAUCUGUUUGGAGAUAGUGCUAAUCUUGAUGCAAGAUAGGUGCACGAUUUGCAUGGAACAUACCAAAUGCAUGGAAAUCAAUCUGGACGCACAUGAUGGAACUCCUAGAUGACGUGUGUCAUAUGAAAUCUUGCUUCGGUCUAUUUGGAGACAAUGUUAGUUUCGGUGCAAGAUAGGUGCAAGGUUUGCACAUAAUGCAGCAUAGGCUAAGAAACCAUUUUGGACCCACCCGAUGGUACUCCUAGGUAAAAGGCUCAAGUGAAAGCUCAGUUUGGUCUAUUUGGAGUUAGUGCUAAUCUUGAUGCAAGAAUGAUGCACGGUUCGGUCUGUUUAGAGAUAUGGUGUAUUAGGCACAAACCGCGCACCUAUCUUGCACCAAAAUUAACACUAUCUCCAAACAGACCAAAGCAAGAUAUCAGAUGACACACAUCAUCUAGGAGUUCUAUUGGGUGCGUCUAUAUUGACUUGUAAGUAUAUGGUAUGUUCCAUGCAAACUGUGCGCCUAUCUUACAUGAAGAUUAGCACUAUAUCCAAACAUAUCGUACCGAGCUUUCACUCGAGUCUCUUCACCUAGAAGUACCAUUAGGUGCUUCCACAACUGUUUCUAAGCCUAUGGUGCAUUAGGCGCACACCGUGCACCUAUCUUGCAUCAAUAUUAGUAGUAUCUCCAAACAGACCGAACCAAGCUUCCACUUGAGCCUCUUUAUCUAGGAGUACCAACAGGUGAGCCCAAAAUGGUUUCUUAGGCUAUGGUGCAUUAGGCAUAAACUCUGCACCUAUCUUGCACCGAAACUAAUACUGUCUCCAAACAGACAAAGCAAGAUUCCAUACGACACACGUCAUCUAGGAGUUCCAUUAGGUGCAUCCAAAUUGAUUUUCAAGCAUAUGGUAUGUCCCAUGCAAACUGUGCACCUAUCUUGCAUCAAGAUUAGGACUAUCUCCAAACAGACCGAACCAAGCUUCCACUUGAGCCUCUUCAGCUAGGAGUUCUAUCGGGUGCAUCCAAAUUGAAUUCUGAGCAUAUGGUACGUUUAAUGCGAACUGUGUAAUCUUGCAUCAAGAUUAGAACUAUCUCCAAACAGACCAACCAACCUUCCACUUGAGCCUCUUCGGCUAGGAGUACCAUUGGCUGCAUCCAAAAUGGUUUCUUAGAGUAUGGUGCAUUAGGCACAAACCGUGCACCUAUCUUACACCGAAACUAACACUAUCUCCAAACAAACCAAAGCGAUAUUAGAUGACACACACCAUCUAGGAGUUCUAUCGGGUGCAUGCAAAUUGAUUUUCAAGCAUAUGGUAUGUUCCAUACAAACCUUGCACCUAUCUUACAUGAAGAUUAGCACUAUCUCCAAACAGAUCUUACCGAGCUUUCACUUGAGCCUCUUCACCUAGGAGUACCAUCGGGUGCUUCCAGAACUGUUUCAAAGCCUAUGGUGCCUUAGGCGCACACCGUGCACCUAUCUUACACCGAAAGUAACACUAUCUCCAAACGGAUCAAAGUGAGAUUCCAUAUGACACACGUCAUCUAGGAGUUCUAUCGGGUGCAUCCAAAUUGAUUUCCGAGUAUAUGGUACAUCCAUGCAAACUGUGCACCUAUCUUGCGUCAAGAUUAACACUAUCUCCAAACAGACCAAACCGAGCUUUCACUUGAGCCUCUUCAGCUAGGAGUACAAUCGGGUGCGUCCAAAUUGGUUUCUUAGGCAAUGGUGCAUUAGACAUAAACUGUGCACCUAUCUUGCACUAAAACUAACACUGUCUCCAAACGAACGAAGAGAGAUUCCAUAUUAAACACGUCACUAGGAGUGCCAAUAGGUGCAUCCAAAUCGAUUUUCAAGAAUAUGGUAUGUCCCAUGCAAACCGUGCACCUAUCUUGCAUCAAGAUUAGCACUAUCUCCAAAUAGACCGAACCAAGCUUCCGCUUGAGCCUCUUCAGCUAAGAGUUCCAUGAGGUAUGUCCAAAUUGAUUUCCAAGCAUAUAGUACGUUCCAUGCAAACCGUGCAACUAUCUUGCAUCAAGAUUAGCACUAUCUCCAAAUAGACCGAACCAAGCUUCCUCUUGAGCCUCUUUAGCUAGGAGUUCCAUCGGGUGCGUCUAAAAUGGUUUCUUAGUUUAUGGUGCAUUAGGCACAAACCGUGCAGUAUCUUGCACUGAAAUUAACACUAUCUCCAAACAGACCAAAGUGAGAUAUUAGAUGUCAUACACCAUCUAGGAGUUCUACCGGGUGUGUCCAAAUUGAUUUUCAAGCAUAUGGUAUGUUCCGUACAAACCGUGCACCUAUCUUACAUGAAGAUUAGAACUAUCUCCAAACAGAUCGUACCGAGCUUUCACUUUAGCCUCUUCACCUAGGAGUACCAUCGGGUGCUUCCACAACUGUUUCUAAGCCUAUGGUGCAUUAGGCGCACAUCGUGCAGCUAUCUUACACCGAAACUAACACUAUCUCCAAACGGGAUCAAAGUGAGGUUCCAUAUGACACACGUCAUCUAGAAGUUCUAUCAGGUGCGUCCAAAUUGAUUUCCGAGCAUAUGGUACGUUCCAUGCAUACUGUGCACCUAUCUUGCGUCAAGAUUAGUAGUAUCUCCAAACAGACCGAACCAAGCUUCCACUUGAGCCUCUUCACCUAGGAGUACCAACAGGUGCAUCUAAAAUGGUUUCUUAGGCUAUGGUGCAUUAGGCAUAAACUGUGCACCUAUCUUCCACUAAAACUAACACUGUCUCCAAAUAGAUGAAGCGAUAUUCCAUAUGACACACGUCAUCCAGGAGUUCCAUCACGUGCAUCCAAAUGAUUUUCAAGCAUAUGGUAUGUCCCAUGCAAACCGUGCACCUAUCUUGCAUCAAGAUUAUCACUAUCUCCAAAGAAACCAAACCAAGCUUUCACUUGUUCCCCUUUACCUAGGAAUACCAUUGGUUGCGUCCAAAAUUGUUUCUUAGCCUAUCGUGCAUUAGGCGCAAACCGUGCACCUUUCUUGCACCGAAACUAACACUGUCUCCAAAAGAGUACCAUCAGGUGCUUCCACAACUGUUUCAAAGCCUAUGGUGCAUUAGGUGCAUACCGUGCACCUAUCUUACACCAAAACUAACACUAUCUCCAAAUAGACCGAAGUGAGAUUUCAUAUGACACACGUCAUCUAGGAGUUCUAUCGGGUGCGUCCAAAUUGAUUUCCUAGCAUAUGCUACGUCCAUGCAAACCGUGCACCUAUCUUGCGUCAAGAUUAUAACUAUCUCCAAAGAGACCAAACCGAGCUUCCACUUGAGCCUCUUCAUUUAGGAGUACAAUCAGGUGCGUCCAAAAGGGUUUGUUAGAGUAUGGUGCAUUAGGCACAAACCAUGCACCUAUCUUGCACCGAAACUAACACUAUCUCCAAACGGACCAAACGAGGUUACAUAUGACACACAACAUCUAGGAGUUCCAUCGGGCGUGUCCAAAUUGAUUUCGGGCAUAUAGUACGUUCCAGGCAAACCGUGCACCUAUCUUGCAUCAAGAUUAGCAGUAUCUCCAAACAGACCAAACCAAGCUUCCAGUUGAGUCUCUUCACCUAGGAGUAGCAACAGGUGCGUCCAAAAUGGUUUCUUAUGCUAUUGUGCAUUAGGUGCAAACUGUGCACAUAUCUUCCACAGAAUCUAACACUACCUCCAAACAGACCAAAGCGAGAUUUCAUAUGACACACGUCAUCUAGGAGUUCCAUCGGGUGUGUCCAAAUUGAUUUCCGAGCAUAUAGUACGUUUCAUGCAAACCGUGCACCUAUCUUGCAUCAAGAUUAGCACUAUAUCCAAACAAACCGAACCCAGCAUCCACUUGAGACUCUUCAGCUAGGAGCACAAUCGGGUGCAUCAAAAAUGGUUUGUUAGAGUAUGGUGCAUUAGGCACAAACCAUGCACCUAUCUUGUACUGAAACUAACACUAUCUCCAAACAAAAAAAAAGUGAGAUAUCAGAUGACACACAUCACCUAGGAGUUCUAUAGGGUGUGUCCAAAUUGAUUUUCAAGCAUAUGGUAUGUUCCAUGCAAAUCGUGCACCUAUCUUACAUGAAGAUUAGCACUAUCUCCAAACAAAUCAUACCGAGCUUUCACUUGAGCCUCUUCACCUAGGAGUACCAUCGGGUGCUUCCACAAUGGUUUUUGAGCCUAUGGUACAUUAGGCGCAAACCGUACACUUAUCUUGCACCGAAACUAACACUAUCUCCAAAUGGACCGAAGCGAGAUUCUAUAUGACACACGUCAUCUAGGAGUUCUAUCAGGUGCGUCCAAAUUGAUUUUCGAGCAUAUGGUAUGUCCAUGCAAACCGUGCACCUAUCUUGCGUCAAGAUUAGCACUAUCUCCAAACAGACCAAACCGAGCUUCCACUUGUGCCUCUUCAGCUAGGAGUACAAUCAGGUGUGUCCAAAAUGGUUUGUUAGAGUAUGGUGCAUUAGGUACAAACCGUGCACCUAUCUUGCACCGAAACUAACACUAUCUCCAAACAGACCAAGACGAGAUUACAUAUGACACAUGACAUCUAGGAGUUCCAUCGGAUGCGUCCAAAUUGAUUUCCAAGCAUAUGGUACAUUCCAUGCAAACCAUGCACCUAUCUUGCAUCAAGAUUAGCAGUAUCUCCAAACAGACCGAACCCAAGCUUCCACUUGAGCCUCUUCAGCUAGGAGUUCUAUCGGGUGCAUCCAAAUUGAAUUCUGAGCAUAUGAUACGUUCCAUGCAAACCGUGCAAUCUUGCAUCAAGAUUAGCACUAUCUCCAAACAGACCGAACCAACCUUCCACUUGAGCCUCUUCGGCUAGGAGUACCAUUGGCUGCAUCCAAAAUGGUUUCUUAGAGUAUGGUGCAUUAGGCACAAACCGUGCACCUAUCUUGCACCAAAACUAACACUAUCUCCAUACAGACCAAAGCGAUAUUAGAUGACACACACCAUCAAGGAGUUCUAUCGGGUGCGUGCAAAUUGAUUUUCAAGCAUAUGGUAUGUUCCAUACAAACCUUGCACCUAUCUUACAUGAAGAUUAGCACUAUCUCCAAACAGAUCUUACCGAGCUUUCACUUGAGCCUCUUUACCUAGGAGUACCAUCGGGUGCUUCCACAACUGUUUCUAAGCCUAUGGUGCAUUAGGCGCACACCGUGCACCUAUCUUACACCAAAACUAACACUAUCUCCAAACGGACCAAAGUGAGAUUCCAUAUGACACAUAUCAUCUAGGAGUUCUAUCGGUUGAGUCCAAAUUGAUUUUCGAGUAUAUGGUACGUCCAUGCAAACGGUGCACCUAUCUUGUGUCAAGAUUAGCACUAUCUCCAAACAGACCAAACCGAGUUUCCACUUGAGCCUCUUCAGCUAGGAGUACAAUCGGGUGCGUCCAAAUUGGUUUCUUAGGCUAUGGUGCAUUAGGCAUAAACUGUGCACCUAUCUUGAACUGAAGCUAACACUGUCUCCAAAUAGAUGAAGCGAGAUUCCAUAUGACACACGUCAUCUAGGAGUUCCAUCACGUGCAUCCAAAUUGAUUUUCAAGCAUAUGGUAUGUCCCAUGCAAACCGUGCACCUAUCUUGCAUCAAGAUUAGCACUAUCUCCAAAGAAACCAAACCAAGCUUUCACUUGUGCCCCUUUACCUAGGAAUACCAUUGGGUGCCUCCAAAAUUGUUUCUUAGCCUAUCGUGCAUUAAGCGCAAACCGUGCAUCUUUCUUGCACCAAAACUAACACUGUCUCCAAAGAGUACCAUCGGGUGCUUCCACAACUGUUUCUAAGCCUAUGGUGCAUUAGGUGCAUACCGUGCACCUAUCUUACACCGAAACUAACACUAUCUCCAAAUGGACUGAAGUGAGAUUUUAUAUGACACACGUCAUCUAGGAGUUCUAUCGGGUGCAUCCAAAUUGAUUUCCUAGCAUAUGGUAUGUCCAUGCAAACCGUGCACCUCUCUUGCGUCAAGAUUAGCACUAUCUCCAAACAGACCAAACCGAGCUUCCACUUGAGCCUCUUCAUUUAGGAGUACAAUCAGGUGCGUCCAAAAGGGUUUGUUAGAGUAUGGUGCAUUAGGCACAAACCAUGCACCUAUCUUGCACAGAAACUAACACUAUCUCCAAACGGACGAAAGCGAGGUUACAUAUGACACAACAUCUAGGAGUUCCAUCGGGCGUGUCCAAAUUGAUUUCGGGCACAUAGUACGUUCCAUGCAAACCGUGCACCUAUCUUGCAUCAAGAUUAGCAGUAUCUCCAAACAGACCAAACCAAGCUUCCACUUGAGUCUCUUCACCUAGGAGUAGCAACAUGUGCGUCCAAAAUGGUUUCUUAUGCUAUUGUGCAUUAGGCGCAAACUGUGCACAUAUCUUCCACCGAAACAACACUACCUCCAAACAGACCAAAGUGAGAUUUCAUAUGACACACGUCAUCUAGGAGUUCCAUCGGGUGAGUCCAAAUCGAUUUUCAAGCAUAUUGUAUGUUCCAUGCAAACUGUGCACCUAUCUUACAUGACGAUUAGCACUAUCUCCAAACAUAUCGUACCGAGCUUUCACUUGAGCCUCUUAUUUAGGAGUACCAUCGGGUGCUUCCACAAUUGUUUUUGAGCCUAUGGUACAUUAGGCGCAAACCGUACACUUAUCUUGCACCGAAACUAACACUAUCUCCAAAUGGACCGAAGUGAGAUUCCAUAUGACACACGUCAUCUAGGAGUUCUAUUGGGUGCGUCCAAAUUGAUUUUCGUGCAUAUGGUAUGUCCAUGCAAAUCGUGCAUCUAUCUUGCGUCAAGAUUAGCACUAUCUCCAAACAGACCAAACCGAGCUUCCACUUAUGCCUCUUCAGCUAGGAGUACAAUCAAGUGUGUCCAAAAUGGUUUGUUAGAGUAUGGUGCAUUAGGCACAAACUGUGCACCUAUCUUGCACCAAAACUAACACUAUCUCCAAAAAGACCAAGACGAGAUUACAUAUGACACAUGACAUCUAGGAGUUCCAUCGGAUGCGUCCAAAUUGAUUUCCAAGCAUAUGGUACAUUCCAUGCAAACCAUGCACCUAUCUUGCAUCAAUAUUAGCAGUAUCUCCAAAUAGACCGAACCCAAGCUUCCACUUGAGCCUCAUCACCUAGGAGUACCAACAGGUGCGUCCAAAAUGGUUUUCUUAGACUAUGGUGCAUUAGGCGCAAACUGUGCACCUAUCUUGCACUAGAACUAACACUAUGUCCAAACGGAUCAAAGCGAGAUUCCAUUUGACACACAUCAUCUAAGAGUUCCAUCGGGUGCCUCCAAAUGAAUUUCUGAGCAUAUGGUAUGUUCCAUGCAAACCGCGCAGCUAUCUUGCAUCAAGAUUAGUAGUAUCUCCAAAUAGACCAAACAAGGCUUCCACUUAAAGCCUCUUCACCUAGGAGUACAUAUAGGUGCGUCCAAAAUGGUUUCUUAUGCUAUGGUGCAGUAGGUGCAAACUGUGCACCUAUCUUGCACCAAAACUAACACUAACUCCAAACGGAUCAAAGCGAGAUUCCAUAUGACACACGUCAUCUAGGAGUUCCAUUGGGUGCGUCCAAAUUGAUUUCUGCGCAUAUGGCACAUUCCAUGCAAACUGUGCAACUAUCUUGCAUCAAGAUUAGCACUAUCUCCAAACAGACCAAUCCGAGCUUCCAUUUGAGUCUCUUCACCUAGGAGUACCAACAGGUGCGUCCAAAAUGGUUUCUUAGACUAUGGUGCAUUAGGCGCAAACUUUUUUUUGAGAGCCAUUAGGCGCAAACUGUGCAACUAUCUUGCACCAAAACUAACCGUCUCUAAAUAGACCAAAGCGAGAUUUCAUAUGACACACGUCAUCUAGGAGUUCCAUCGGGUGCGUCCAAAUUGAUUUCUGAGCAUAUGGUACGCUCUAUGCAAACCGUGCACCUAUCUUGCAUCAAGAUUAGCACCAUCACCAAAUAGACCGAACCAAGCUUCCACUUGAGCCUCUUCACCUCGGACCAAUAGGUGCGUCCAAAAUGGUUUCUUAGACUAUGGUGCAUUAGACGCAAACUAUCCACCUAUCUUGCACCAAAACUAACACUAUCUACUAACGGAUCAAACCAAGAUUCCAUAUGACCCACGUCAUCUAGGAGUUCCAUCGGGUGCCUCCAAAUUGAUUUCUGAGCAUAUGGUACGUUCCAUGCAAACCAUGCACCUAUCCUCCAUCAAGAUUAGCAGUAUCUCCAAGCAGACCGAACCCAGCUUGCACUUGAGCCUCUUCAUCUAGGAGUACCAACAUGUGCGCCCAAAAUGGUUUCGUAGGCUACGGUGCAUUAGGCACAAACUAUGCACCUAUCUUGCACCAAAACUAACACUGUCUCCAAACGGAACGAAACGAGAUUCUAUAUGAAACACGUCAUCUAGGACUUCCAUCAGGUGCGUCCAAAUUGAUUUUCAACCAUAUGGUACGUUCCAUGUAAACUGUGCACCUAUUUUGCAUCAAGAGUAGCACUAUCUCCAAUGCACUGAACCGAGCUUUCACUUGAGCCACUUCACCUAGGAGUACCAUCGAGUGCGUCCAAAAUGGUUUCUUAGCCUGUGGUGCAUUAGGCGCAAACCGUGCACCUAUCUUGCACAGAUACUAACACUUUCUCCAAAUGGACCAAAGCAAGAUUACAUAUGACACACGUCAUCUAGAAGUUCUAUCGGAUGCAUCUAAAUUGAUUUCUGAGCAUAAGGUACGUUCCAUGCAAACUAUGCAACUAUCUUGCAUCAAGAUUAGCACUAUCUCCAAAUAGACCGAACCGAGCUUCCACUUGAGCCUCUUCAGCGGAGAGUACCAUCGGUUGUGUCCAAAAUGGUUUCUUAGAGUAUGGUGUAUUAGGCACAAACCGUGCACCAAUCUUGCACCAAAACUAACACUUUCUCCAAAUAGACCAAAGUGAGAUAUCAGAUGACACACAUCAUCUAGGAGUUAUAUCGGGUGUGUCCAAAUUGAUUUUCAAGCAUAUGGUAUGUUUCAUGCACACCGAGCACCUAUCUUGCACCGAAACUAAAACUAUCUCCAUGUGGACCGCAGUGAGAUUCCAUAUGACACACGUCAUCUAAGAGUUCUAUCGGGUGCAUCCAAACUGAUUUCUAAGCAUAUGGUACAUUCCAUGCAAACCGUGCACCUAUCUUACAUCAAGAUUAGCACUAUCUCCAAACAGACCAAACCGAGCAUUCAGUUAAGCCCCUUUACCUAGGAAUACAAUCGGGUGUGUCCAAAAUCGUUUCUUAGCCUAUGGUUCAUUACGCACAAACUGUGCACCUAUCUUGCACCGAAACUAACACUGUCUCCAAACAGACCGAAGCGAGACUCCAUAUGACACACAUCACAUUAGGCGCAAACAGACCGAAGCAAGAUUCCAUAUGACACACGUCAUCUUGGAGUUUCAUUGGGUGUGUCCAAAUUGAUUUCCGAGCAUAUGAUAUGUUCCACACAAAUAGUGCACCUAUCUUGCAUCAAGAUUAGCAAUAUCUCUGAAUAGAGCAAACCGAGCUUCCACUUGAGCCUCUUCACCUAGGAGUUCCAUCGGGUGCUUCUAAAAUGGUUUCUUAGCCUAUGGUGCAUUUGGCACAAACCGUGCAUAUAUCUUGCACCAAAACUAACACAAUCUCCAAAUAGACCAAAGCAAGAUUUCAUAUGACACACGUCAUCUAGGAGUUCCAUCGGGUGUGUCCAAAUUGAUUUUCAAGCAUAUGGUACGUUCUAAGCAAACCAUGCACCGAUCUUACAUGAAAAUUAGCACUAUCUCCAAAAAGAUCAUACCAAGCUUUCACUUGAGCCUCUUCACCUAGGUGUACCAUCAAGUGCAUCCAAAAUGGUGUCUUAGCCUAUGGUGCAUUAGGUGCAAACCGUGCACCUAUCUUGCACCGACACUAACACUGUCUCUACACAAACCGAAGCAAGAUUCCAUAUGACACACGUCAUCUAGGAGUUUCAUUGGGUGCGUCCAAAUUGAUAUCCAAGCAUAUGGUAUGUUCCAUGCAAACUGUGCACCUAUCUAGCAUCAAGAUUAGCACUAUCUCCAAACAGACCAAACCAAGCUUCCACUUGAGCCUCUUCACCUAGGAGUAUAAUUGGGUGCAUCAAAAAUGGUUUCUUAGGCUAUGGUGCAUUAGGUGCAAACCGUGCAUCCACCGAAACUAACACUAUGUCCAAACAGAAUGAAGCAAGAUUCCAUAUGACACACGUCAUCUAGGAGUUCUAUCGGGUGCGUCCAAAUUGAUUUUUGAGCAUAUGGUAUGUCCCAUGCAAACCGUGCAACUAUCUUGCAUCAAGGUUAGCACUAUCUCCAAAUAGACCACAUCGAGCUUCCACUUGAGCCUCUUCACCAAGGAGUACCAUCAGGUGCGUCUAAAAUGGUUUUUCAGCCUACGGUGCAUUAGGUGCAAAUCGUGCACAUAUCUUGCACCGAAACCAAAACUGUCUCCAAACAGACCAAAGCGAGAUUCCAUAUGACACAUGUCAUCUAGGUCUUCCAUCUAGUGCGUCCAAAUUGAUUUUUGAGCAUAUGGUACGUUUCAUGCAAACCGUGCACCUAUCUUGCAUCAAGAUUAGCACUAUCUCCAAAAAUACCGAACUGAGCUUCCACUUGAGCCUCUUCACCGAGGAGUACCAACAGGUUCGUCGAGCAUGGUUUCUUAGACUAUGGUGCAUUAGGCGCAAAUUGUCAAAAGUGCUAGUUUGGUUUUGGAUAAUUGAUGAAACCCUUGUACUAACCUCUAUACUAAGUGUGUGUAGACUUAAUGAGGUUGGUACAUGCCAAGUGAUGGAGCAAGAGAUGAUCAUGGUGAUGAUGGUGAUGACCACAAGAUGAUCAAGUUCUCAACUUAGAAAAGAAGAAAGAGAAAAACAAAACCCUAUGGAGAUCAAGGCAAAGGUAUAAAGAGGGGAUCAAGACACCAUAGAGGGUGUGAUCACAUUUAGGAUAGAUAGCCAUACUAUAAAGAGGGGAAUUCUUUCGCUAAGCAGUUAUCAAGUGCCACUAGGUGUCAUUAUUCAUGUGCAUGCAUUUAGAACCUAGUGAGCUAACUUAACUCUGAAGAAAAUGUUUGUGAAAAUGCUAACACACGUGCACAUGUUGGUUUACACAUUGUGGUGUUGGCACACUUUGAAAAGGAGGUGGAGUUUGAAGGGUAGAGAGAGGAUGGGUUCCUCUCCCCCUCCCACAGAGCUUGCUCGGCAGGAUUCGGCGCUUUUUUGAGAAAAUGACGUGCAAUUUUUCUAUUGCACCGGUGGGAAAAUUGGAGAAGUCGUGGGUGUGUUUCUCGCUGAGAAACACUCACCGGACGCUGGCUCAGAGGCACCAGACGCUGUGUCUAUGCGUCCGGUGCACCGGACGCCCACACCGGACGCAGGUUAGAUCCUGUUUGAGCGUUCGAUGUUUUGAGUCCAGUGUUCUGCGCUUUUGCAAUGCUCUCUAGGUAUGAGACCAGUGAGCACCGGACGGUCCGUGCUCAGCGUCCGGUGACCCCGCGAGUUUGCAAACCUCCCUGAGUUUAAGUCCAGUGAGUACCAGACGCGUCUUGUGCCAACUUGAGCGCGUCCGGUGCUCUGCAGGUGACCGUUAGAGAUCAACAUGCAAGUGGAUAGGGCAAAACGUGGCUGUUUCUAGAGCACCAGACACAGGGGUUGAGCGUCCGGUGCCCCCUGUGGUUCAUAAGGUGACCCUGUUUUUAGCCCAGUGAAAGAGCCAAUGGCUCAUUUGUUUUUGAGGAGCUUAUAAAUAGUUGUUGGCCAACUUAGGACUCACUCUCUUGGCAUUCUAGCAUACUUGAAUCCUUGUGAGCCUAAGCAAACACCUCCCUCUCAUCUCCUUCAUAGAUUAUUCAUCUUUGUGAGAUUGGGAGUGAUUCCAAGUGCAUUUGCUUGAGUGAUUGCAUCUAGUGGCACUUGGGGAUCGAUUUGGCUGCGGUUUUCUUGUUACUCUUGGUGGUUGCCGCCACCUAGACGGCUUGGAGCAGCGGAGGAGCAUUGGCACGAGUUGGUGAUUGUUCGUGGCUAUCUCCUAGUGAUUGUGAGGGGUCUUGUACCUUCCCUGCGAAGAGUCGAAAGGUAACUUUAGUGGAUUGCUCGUGUCAUUGAGUUACCUCACUUGUGGGUCAGUUCUUGCGGUGUCCUAGUGAGGACGAGGUUCGUGCUACACCGCUUAGCCACCGAACCACCAAGUGUUGGUCGACACAAUAGGGACGUAGCGUGCCAGCAAGCACGUGAACCUCAGGAGAAAAUUGUGUGUCUCCAUUGUGAUUGUUCAUUGGAUUUCUCCUAGUGAUUGGACUACAUAUUAUUGAUUGGUUCAUCCCCUCUAUGCGGCGGUAUAAAGAUCAAACCAUCUCUCUCUUACAUUCCCGCAAACUAGAGUAGCUUACUUACUUGUAUAGAAACUUUAGAUAGCUCUCUAGUGUAAGUAGUGACAUAGCUCUUGUGUGCAUAGUGAUCAUAGCAACUAGAAUUAUUGGAUAGGUGGCUGGCAAACACCCCUUUAGAGCUAGAGCAAAAAGCUAUGCUUGUUAUCUACUGACCUCUUGCUCUAGUGAGUUUGUAGAUUUUUAAAUAGGCUAUUCACCUCCCCUCUAGCCAUAUUAGGACCUUUCAAGUGGUAUCAGAGCCGUGGUCACCGUUUUGUGAAGGCUUAACAACCUCAGUGCUCAAAUUAUGGCUCAAAUAGUGUUCAACCAUGUUGGGGGCAAACCACCGUUCUUUGAUGGAACAAGUUCUUUUGACUAUUGGAAGAGAAAAAUGAAAAUGUAUCUUGGAUCAAUCAAUGAUAGAGUGUGGGAAGUCACGGAGAAUGAUUUUGUGAUCCUUGACACCGCUAACCCCACCGACAAUGAGAGAGCAAACAAGCAAUGCAAUACAAUAGCUCUCAACACAACUAUAAUGACAUUGAUUCAAAGGUAUUUGAACAAGUCAAAGAUCUUGAGAAGGCAAGUGAAGUGUGGACAAUGCUAGAAGAAACAUAUGAGGGCACUACAACAGUAAAAAGUGCCAAGUUGUACAUGCUCAAGGACAAGCUAUCAAACUUCAAUAUGAAGGAUGAUGAGUCAAUUCCAGAAAUGUUCUAUAGGCUCCAAGUCAUCAUCAAUGACCUCAAGGGCCUUGGUGAGAAAGCAAAGGAUGAGGACUUUAUUCACAAGUUCUUGAUGUGCUUGCCCAAGAGGUUCAAGACAUUGAGAACAAUCAUCUUUAGAGGUGGAUUGACAGGUGUAUCUCCCAAUGAGGUACUUGGAGAUGUCAUGACCGAAGAUCAAUAUAAUGACAAUGAUGAUGAUGAGGUCAUGAAGGAUGAUGAUGAUAAGAAGAAGAAGAGUGAAGCAUUCAAAGCUAGCUCUUCAUCCAAGAGCAAGAACAAGGAAGAAUCAAGUGAUGAGGAGUGUUCCAAUGAUGAUAGUGAUGAUGAAGCACUAGCACUCUUUGUCCACAAGUUUGGCAAGAUGAUGAAGAAAAAGGGCUACCAUACAAGGAAGAGAAGGGACAACUCCAAGAACAAGGAAUAUGUGAGGCUAUGCUACAAGUGCAAGAGCCCCGAUCAUUUUGUGGCGGAUUGUCCUUACAAUAGUGACAAUGAUGAGCAUAACAAGAAGAACAAGAAGGAGAAGAAAGAAAAGAAAGAGAAGAAGAUGGUCUUCAAGAAGAAGAAGAAGGGUGGAUCCUAUGUUGUGACAUGGGAUAGUGAUGCCUCUUCAGAUGAUGACUCAAGCGAUGAUGACAAAUCAUCCCAAAAGAAGGCACUUGCAAGCAUUGCUAUCAACAAGCCAUCACUCUUCGACACUCCUUCAUGCUUCAUGGCCAAGUGCCACAAGGUACAAUAUGAUGAAAGUGAAAGUGAACAUGAACAUGAUAGUGAUAGUGAUGAUGAAAAUAAAUUCACUAAUGAACAACUCAUGGACAUGUUAGAACAAGCCAAAUCUCUCAUUCAAUCUAAAAACAAGAAGUGCAAAGAAUUGGCCAAGAAGUUAAAAGCUCUUGAGCAAUCCUUUGAUGAGCUCAAUGCUAAUCAUGAGAGGCUAGUGGAAGCCCAUGAGAAGCUUGGCAAGGCUCACACCAAGCUUGAGGAAGCUCACUCCUUGUUGUUAGAGGAGAACAGGGAAAAGGUUGUUGUAUCAUGUGAUGUGGGCACAACAUGUUACUUAAUUAAAGAAUCUUCCAACCCACCUAUUGUUGUUGCCACUAACUCUUCUUGUAGGUCUUCAUCCACCACCACCAACUCUACCUCUACUUCUAGUGUUAUUGUCACUUGUGAUACCUCACUAAAGGUUGAGAAUGAGACUCUUAAGAGAGAGGUGGAUGAGCUCACUCAUGCCCUAAGCAAGGCCUAUGGUGGUGAGGCCUGCUUGCUAAAGUGUUUGGGUAGUCAAAGGUUUUCUCUCAACAAAGAGGGAUUAGACUAUACCCCCAAGAAAGGCAAGGCGACCUUUGCAACUCACAAGCAUAGCUUUGUGAAGAGCAACGGUUGGUAUUGCAACAAAUGCAAGCAAGUUGGGCACCUAGAGCUUAAUUGCAAUAAAGUGAACAAGAACAAGAAAAAUGCUAAUGUAUCUUACCAAGGGUGAGAAGAGUGUGCAUGCUAAGUUUGUUGGUACACCAAUUGUGAGUCCAAAGAAGAAGGCCAUUUGGGUACCAAAAAGCUUAGUCACUAACCUCCAAGGACCCAAACAAGUAUGGGUACCUAAGAAACAUUGAUUUGUUUUGUAGGUAAAUUAUAAAGCCGGAGGAAGGCAUUGGGUACUUGAUAGUGGGUGCACACAACACAUGACAUUGUUAGUUUUGGUGCAAGAUAGGUGCACAGUUUGCACCUAAUGCACCAUAGUCUAAGAAACCAUUUUGGACGCACUUGUUGGUACUCCAAGGUGAUUGGCUCAAGCGGAUGCUUGGUUCGGUCUGUUUGGAGAUAGUGCUAAUCUUGAUGCAAGAUAGAUGCACGGUUUGCAUGGAACAUAUGAUAUGCUUAGAAAUCAAUUAGGACGCACCUGAUAUAACUCCUUGAUGAUUUGUGUCUUAUGGAAUCUUGCUUCGGUUCGUUUAGAGAUAGUGUUAGUUUUGGUAGAAGAUAUGUGCACGGUUUACGCCUAAUGCACCAUAGGCUAAGAAACCAUUUUAGACGCACCCGAUGGUACUCGUAGUUGAAGAGGCUCAAGUGGAGACUUGAUUUGGUUUGUUCGGAUAUAGUGCUAAUCUUGAUGCAAGAUAGUUGCACAGUUUGCAUGCAACGUACCAUAUGUUAAGAAAUCAAUUUGGACGCACCCAAUGGAACUCCUAGAUGAUGUGUGUCAUAUGGAAUCUCGCUUCGGUCUGUUUGGAGACAAUGUUAGUUUCGGUGCAAGAUAGGUGCAUAGUUUGUGCCAAAUGCACCAUAGUCUAAGAAUCCAUUUUUGACACACAUGUUUGUACUCCUAGAUGAAGAGGCUCAACUGGAAGCUCGGUUCGGUCUGUUUGGAGAUAGUGCUAAUCUUGAUGCAAGAUUGGUGCACGGUUUGCAUGGAACAUACUGCACCCGAUGGAACUCCUUGAUGACAUGUGUCAUUUGGAAUCUCACUUUGUAUUGUUUAGAAUUAGUGUUAGUUUUGGUGCAAGAUAUGUGCAGGGUUUGCGCCUAGUGCACCAUAGUCUAAGAAACCAGUUUGGAAGCACCUGUUGGUACUUCGGUGAAGAGGAUCAAGUGAAUGCUCGGUUUGAUCUAUUUGGAGAUAGUGCUAAUCUUGAUGCAAGAUAGGUGCAUGAUUUGCAAGGAACAUACCAUAUGCUUAGAAAUGAAUUUGGAUGCACCCAAUGGAACUCCUAGAUGAUGACGUGUGUCAUAUGGAAUCUUAUUUCGGUCCGUUUGGAGACAUUGUAAGUUUUAGUGCAAGAUAGGUGCACAGUUUGCGGCUAAUGCACCAUAGUCUAAAAAACCAUUUUUGACGCACCUGUUUGUACUCCUAGAUGAAGAGGCUCAAGUGGAAGCUUGGUUCGGUCUGUUUGGAGAUAGUGCUAAUCUUGAUGCAAGGUAGGUGCAUGGUUUGCAUGGAACAUACCAUAUGCUUGGAAAUCAAUCUGGACGCACAUGAUGGAACUCCUAGAUGACGUGUGUCAUACAAAAUCUUGCUUUGGUCUGUUUGGAGGCAGUGUUAGUUUCGGUGCAAGAUAUGUGCAAGGUUUGCACAUAAUGCAGCAUAGGCUAAGAAACCAUUUUGGACGCAGCCGAUGGUACUCCUAGGUAAAAGGCUCAAGUGAAAGCUCAAUUUGGUCUAUUUGGAGAUAGUGCUAAUCUUGAUGCAAGAUAGAUGCACGGUCUGGAUGGAACGUACCAUAUGCUUAGAAAUUAAUUUGGAUGCACCCGAUGGAACUCCUUGAUGACGUGUGUCAUAUGGAAUCUCACUUUGGUCUGUUUAGAAAUAAUGUUAGUUUCGGUGCAAGAUAUGUUCAUGGUUUGCACCUAAUGCACCAUAGUCUAAGAAACCAUUUUGGAAGCACCUGUUGGUACUUCGGUGAAGAGGCUCAAGUGGAAGCUCGGUUUGAUCUGUUUGGAGAUAGUGCUAAUCUUGAAGCAAGAUAGGUUCAUGAUUUGCAAGGAACAUACCAUAUGCUUAGAAAUCAAUUUGGACGCACCCAAUGGAACUUCUAGAUGACGUGUGUCAUAUGGAAUCUUGCUUCGGUCCGUUUGUAGACAUUGUAAGUUUUAGUGCAAGAUAGGUGCACAGUUUGCGCCUAAUGCACCAUAGUCUAAGAAACCAUUUUGGAUGCACUAUUUGGUACUCUUGGGUGAAGAGACUCAAGUGGAAGCUUGGUUCGGUCAGUUUGGAGAUAGUGCUAAUCCUUAUGCAAGGUACGUGCAUGGUUUGCAUGGAACAUACCAUAUGCUUGGAAAUCAAUUUGGAUGCACCCGAUGGAACUCCUUAACGACGUGUCAUAUGGAAUCUCGCUUGGGUCCAUUUGGAGACAUUGUUAGUUUUGGUGCAAGAUAGGUGCACAGUUUGCACCUAAUGCACCAUAGUCUAAGAAACCAUUUUGGACACACUUGUUGGUACUCCUAGGUGAAGGGUUUCAAGUGGAUGCUUGGUUCGGUCUGUUUGGAGAUAGUGCUAAUCUUGAUGCAAGAUAGGUGCACGGUUUGCAUGGAACAUACCAUAUGCUUGGAAAUCAAAUUGGAUGCACCCGAUGGAACUCCUUGAUGAUGUGUCAUAUGGAAUCUCACUUUGGUCUGUUUAGAAAUAGUGUUAGUUUCGAUAUAAGAUAUGUGCAUGGUUUGCGCCUAAUGCACCAUAGUCUAAGAAACCAUUUUGGAAGCACCUGUUGGUACUUCGGUGAAGAGGCUCAAGUGGAAGCUUGGUUUGAUAUGUUUGGAGAUAGUGCUAAUCUUGAUGCAAGAUAGGUGCAUGAUUUGCGAGGAACAUACCAUAUGCUUAGAAAUCAAUUUGGACGCACCCAAUGGAACUCCUAGAUGACGUGUGUCAUAUGGAAUCUUGCUUCGGUCCAUUUGUAGACAUUGUAAGUUUUAGUGCAAGAUAGGUGCACAGUUUGCGCCUAAUGCACUAUAGUCUAAGAAACAUUUUGGAUGCACUAUUUGGUACUCUUGGGUGAAGAGCCUCAAGUGGAAGCUUAGUUCGGUCAGUUUGGAGAUAGUGCUAAUCCUUAUGCAAGGUAGGUGCAUGGUUUGCAUGGAACAUACCAUAUGCUUGAAAUCCAUUUGGAUGCACUCAAUGGAACUCCUUGACGACGUGUGUCAUAUGGAAUCUCGCUUCGGUCCAUUUGGAGACAUUGUUAGUUUCGGUGCAAGAUAGGUGCACAGUUUGCGCCAAAUGCACUAUAGUCUAAGAAACCAUUUUGGACGCACUAUUUGGUACUCUUGGGUGAAGAGGCUCAAGUGGAAGCUUGGUUCGGUCAGUUUGGAGAUAGUGCUAAUCCUUAUGCAAGGUAGGUGCAUGGUUUGCAUGGAACAUACCAUAUGCUUGGAAAUCAAUUUGGAUGCACCCGAUGGAACUCCUUGACGACGUGUGUCAUAUGGAAUCUCGCUUUGGUCCAUUUGGAGACAUUGUUAGUUUUGGUGCAAGAUAGGUGCACAGUUUGCACCUAAUGCACCAUAGUCUAAGAAACCAUUUUGGACACACUUGUUGGUACUCCUAGGUGAAGGGUUUCAAGUGGAUGCUUGGUUCGGUCUGUUUGGAGAUAGUGCUAAUCUUGAUGCAAGAUAGGUGCACGGUUUGCAUGGAACAUACCAUAUGCUUGGAAAUCAAAUUGGAUGCACCCGAUGGAACUCCUUGAUGAUGUGUCAUAUGGAAUCUCACUUUGGUCUGUUUAGAAAUAGUGUUAGUUUCGAUAUAAGAUAUGUGCAUGGUUUGCGCCUAAUGCACCAUAGUCUAAGAAACCAUUUUGGAAGCACCUGUUGGUACUUCGGUGAAGAGGCUCAAGUGGAAGCUUGGUUUGAUAUGUUUGGAGAUAGUGCUAAUCUUGAUGCAAGAUAGGUGCAUGAUUUGCGAGGAACAUACCAUAUGCUUAGAAAUCAAUUUGGACGCACCCAAUGGAACUCCUAGAUGACGUGUGUCAUAUGGAAUCUGCUNNNNNNNNNNNNNNNNNNNNNNNNNNNNNNNNNNNNNNNNNNNNNNNNNNNNNNNNNNNNNNNNNNNNNNNNNNNNNNNNNNNNNNNNNNNNNNNNNNNNAGUCAACUUUCAUUUCUGCGACGAUGGAAUCUUGCUUCGGUUCGUUUAGAGACAGUGUUAGUUUUGGUAGAAGAUAUGUGAUGCGAACCCGCUAGGGUUUUUGCCUGAUCUUUUGAUGAGAGACGGGGAUAACUCGAUUGGUGGAUGGAGAUGAUGUUCACGGCCCGACUACAGCCCUCAAGACCGCGCCUUAGCAACCGAUACACCACGUUCAAUAGCCGUCACGAUCUUGUGGAGCGCGACAACCAGCCCCUAGGGCUCCCGUCCUGCAAGCAAUCGAAGAACUGCAAGAACGAGGAAACAAGCACUGAAUUUGCAAGAUGAAUUGAAGGUUUCAAACUGAAUCUGAAUCAACAAUGGGGUUCCGAAGACAAGGAGACGGGCGG